RNAcentral lists this long non-coding RNA (56610 nucleotides) under Capsicum annuum. RNAcentral describes it as "long non-coding RNA (CANN_LNC022109)". Lineage: Eukaryota; Viridiplantae; Streptophyta; Magnoliopsida; Solanales; Solanaceae. The record is from RNAcentral.
AACCCAAAACUAAAUUGAGUUACCGACCUGAUUACUGAACUAAGACUGGGAUUGAGAUUAUAGAUAAGAUGGUAAUUGAGACUAUAACCGUAACUAAAACUGUAGCUGAGACUGAAUACUGGUUUUUGAUAACUAGGGUUUAGACUGGUAUUGAAGUACUGAAUUCUAAGACUAAACACUGAUUACUGAGUACAGAAUACUAGAAUUGUAACUGAGAUGGCAACUGCAUUUUGAUAGUUACACAACGGGACCUAACAUAAGUCAAAGAUCUGAAUGCACAAUCACACUUUGUACUUUCCCAACUUCUAAAUACAACCUCUUGCUAGUCGUUUACUUGUACACUAAUAUGAGAUUCAAGCCUAUCUUCGUAACUACACCCUUGUGUAAAAUAAACAUGCAACAAUCUUUUCUUAACAUAUAAUAUUUAUUCUCUCCCAUUUAAGCAACUGCCCAUCACUACACUGUUUUCACAAAGAGAACUCAUUGAAGGCUUAAAUCAGGAGGACCUGAAGCAUGAAUGGACACUAACUGAACUUAACACUUGACUGAAGCCUGAGGAAUAGCAUAUAAACAUCAUGAAUUUACCAAGAGGUCUAAACUAAGGAUAUGUAUAACACAGUAUGAAUUUAACUGAUCAGUAGAGGCGUAGCAUAAUCCAUGGAAGCUGAGUAUACUGUAAAGCCUGAUAUGUGUACAUGAGUCAUGAGUUGCAUGACCUGAGUUUGGAGUUUUCUGCAUUCGUGGGACAUGAUUUUUAUUACUGAGGGGAAUAGAACUAAACUCCUUAUACUGGGAACUAAAAUCGUACCUAAUUCAGUGGAAAGCGUGUGAAUACAAGUUGUGUUCAUGGAACUGAGAUGUGAAGCAUGCGUAGGCAUCAUGCUGACUAAAGUACCAAACUUUACACUGAGAUAAGGAUGGGUCGGUAAUCACCUUCCCUUACUAUUUUUCUAUACGUAUUGGCACUACUACUGGAAUCUGAGAGCCUGAAUUGGUCACUUGAUCUAUCAUCUCCCCCUUAUCUUUAAUCCAUCAUCAUAAGUCUGUGAACACUUUACUAAACUCUAAACUAAACUACAAUUAUCAUCACAUACUUACACUCUGUUCGACACAUGCUUACCUUACUAAAUACACCAUCUACUUCUGUUUCUUCAUAGACUACUAAUAUUGCAUCUUCUAAUUCACAUCCACACCUUCAUACUUAAUUUUAAAUCAAUAAUCUUAAAUUCUUGGUUGCACUGUUCAAGCCUACUAGUCUACCUUGGUAUAACUAUCCCUAUGAAUACAUAAUAUGCUUAAUUUGGAUAACAUUAUCCCAACUCUACUACUGCUAAACUCCUGGGUUCAUGCUUCUAACUCUAGGUCAUAUACUAUCAUAGGAUUCUAAGAAGGGAUCUAAUGACAUAUCAAAUUUUGGGUUCACGAAUGAGUUCUCAUGAUUAUGAAUAAGAUCUGUACAACUUUGGAACAUAACAAAACUGAUGGGAUACUUUUGAACCUACGAACAAUCCCAUAACUGUCUGCGGGGACUAUCUGAGAAAGCCCUACCCCUAAGACUUUGAGCUUCACCAUUUUUGUUACCUUAAAAGUAAGAUGGAGUUGACAUAAGUAGAGCAUGAUGAGGAUCUACAUGAGUUUCUUAGGGAACCUUUCUAUAGCAUGAUCUGAAAUAUGAAAAAAAAACAAUUCCUAAAAUAUCAAUAGCCUCCUGUCUAUAAGUGUGGUGCACAACAUACCUAUGCACAAGACUGUACUAGAUGCAGUUUUUCAGACUUCCUAGGACACCGUUGAACCUUAGGCUUUGAUACCAAGUUUGUGAUGCCCUGAGUCUGGUACCCAGAAUGCUACAUGGUCUCCAUAAUCCCGAAGGACCAUAAACUAACCCAUGACUGAUAUUUGUACUUGUACACUACAUAAUAUAAGAUACAAAUGUAGAAAUAAAGGCUGAUAGCCCAUAAGUUUCAAAUAUGAUAAAAACAAAACAUUUGGGUGGGGUAUGAAAUACCCAAAACAAAUGUAGUAAACUAUUUGAAACAUGAUAGUCUGAAAAGCCUCUAACUGUCUGAAUAAGGAGUUAAUGGGACAUGUCCCCAGCUAACUCUAACUACUGAAAUAAAAUAAGUGCUGAAAUGAUAAAACAAUAAUCAUGACCUCGAAGGAUGAGGACUCACUGCUGACUUUGACUACCAAGUACGGGACUACUAUUGAUGCUUUGUAGCUCGUGCUUCUGAACCUAUGGUAUAAAAAACCAUAGCACAAAUAAGUCAGUACGUUUGAAUGUACUGGUAUGCAUGUGAGGUAGGAUGAAUGCAUUGGGUUCAUAUGCAUGAACAAUACUAACUGUAACAUAAACAUGAGAAUACAUGCAUGAACAAGUAACUAUAACUAAGACCAUAUUGAUACUGGUACAGGGUUCUGAGUACUGAUUACUAACGUCUAAGUUUAUUGAUAUUGAUAACUAAGUUUACUAAAUACUGAGAGACUGAUGUUAUAUUAACGAUAAAAGAAAGGCUGUUUCUGACAGUUCUGAUUAUGAAGAACUAGUCUGAUUGACUGUAUCUGACAGUCCUAAAACUGAGUACUGAUAACAUAGGUUUUAUAUAAUUAAUAAACUAUUAACUAAAUUUUUCAUAACAUGAUUACUAUGUCUGAGUACUGAUAACAUGAGUGACUAUAUCUGACAGUCCUAAUACUGAUGGAACUAGCUGAGUUCUGUACUGAACUGAGUUGAUUGUAUCUGAUAGUCCUGAUAUCUGUAGAACUAUUUGAGUUCUAUUACUAAGACUGAAUGACUAUAUCUGACAGUCCUAAUUUGUAGCUGAAACUGUGGGAGGUAGUCAUCUAACUGACAUGCCCCAAAUAAUGCAUUAUAGUUGAGUUGGGGUCUAAUUUUAACUUCAAUUGGAAGGGUGUUAGUACUACGCCACUGGUUAGGACAAGCUGUGGGUGACCCUCAUCUGAUAGUGUCCCUAAAAGAGAAUAGUGGGACCCUCAUCUGACAGUGUUGAUGUCUCAACCUAUGUUGGCUACAUAGUUCUGGAAUGCAAGGAUGACUUCUAAGAAUCACACCCUCAUCUGAUAGUGUGUGUUCCCAUCCUUGGAUUCACUAGGUGCUAAUUCCGACUCCCAUCUAAAUAGACACUGAACAUGGAUUACUGAACUGAACUAGACUGGAUUAGUUGAGUUUCCAUUGACUAAAGGAAUAGUACUGAGAUUACUGUAUUAUUGAGCUUUCCUUAGACACAUUACUGAGUAAGUUCUAUGGAUCAUGGCUUGACUGAGGAUAUCGUGAAAAGGCACAAAACUAUAUUUUUUUGGGUACAAGUACCCCCAGGACUUGAUGGGAAGAAACUGACAAAGAAUAACUUUCUUGAAUACAUGACUAACAUCAUAAUCCAUUAUACAAUAAGUUGGAGAUUUCAUGAAGUACAAGUUCUAAAUAACCACAAUGGCUACACAUCUAUCCAUACUUCAUUGACUAAGACAUUUCAUCAAACACUUGACGUGCAUAAACUUCAACAUAAAUGGAGAUUUCAUAUUAUUAUACUAGUAUGGCACUUUUCUUUCACAUACGAAUUUUGUCAAACAUAUGGGCAACAUGCUUUGGUUAUACAAUCAUCAACACAUCUAAUAAUCAUGGAUACAUCAAUCAACUUGUAAAUUAAAGGGGGGUUUAUCAUGAUUAUUAUGUAAAUCUUCGUAUACUAGGAUCAAUCAUUGGAAUAUGUAAUUCAAAACAUGAAUCAAAACCAUACAACCUCAUGAACAAGAAUUUCAAUUCUAUUUAAAUCAUGAACAUUCAUAAAUACACAAAUAUUGUAUUUUGAAAAGAGAUUAUUGAGCUUCAUGGGUGAAACGGAUCCAUGAAUCAACACGACAUACCUUAAUGCUUUACUUUAAGAAGAUUGACGGUGAAAUUCUUCAGAUUUGAAUCUUCUAUUAAAACCCUAAGGCUUGUUCAUGAGAGAGUUUAAGAGAAAGUGAGUAUAUUUUUGUGAAUUGAGGCUGAAUUUCAUGUUUAUGGUGUUUUAUGUCAUGAGGGUAUGGUUUAGGGUGAGGAAAAGACUAAAAUACCCCUACGAAACCACUUUCCAGUUUCUAAAAUUCUCAGCUGGCGACCAAGGCUGCUAAGCCGUCAGAUAUUUGAUGGUCCAUCAACUUAGGUUGUCACUUGGAAGCUGGAAUUGAUGGGUUUCUGCCUAAGUCUGACAACUUGGGAUGAUAAGUCGUCAGAUAUGUGACGGCCCAUUAGAUAUGUCAUCACUUAGUUGCUAGGUUAACAUGCUAGAGUAAAAUAGGUAUAACUUUUUGCUCCGAUAUCAGAUUUGGGCAAAAUUGGUAUCAUUGGAAAUCUAAUUCAAUUAUCUAUCUGUUAGUGGUUCAUGAGCUCCAAAAUUCAUAGUAUAAUGAGAAAUAUGCUUAUUUGAAGUUGACUAUACCAAUAUCCUUCCCAAGAAUUCAAUCGGUAAGAAAUGUUUUGAUUCGCCUAAUAGCUAGGAUGAAUUUGAGACCUUAAUUGACAUCAAACUUCAUCAUAAAACUACCAAAGAACCAUGAUGUACUAUUCAUAAGCUUGAAAUAUGGCGCUAAUAUUAAUUUGCAUUUUUUGGGGUAUUACACCCUUCACGUUCACGAGGGUCAAUUUUGAUCAGCUAAAAUUUUAGCCUUCGCCAUUCGCGAAGGAUGAUAAAUUAGGUCUUUUCUUUCACAAUGCAACAACCUCAUCGCAUUUGCAAAUAAGGGAAUACCCGAGUCCGGCCCAAUUUCCCUUGCGAAUGAGACCUUCCAUAUCGCGCUCACAAUGAAGGAAAAUAAUUUCUCAAUGUUCGCAAAGAAGGAUCUAACUUGCACCAUAUAUCAACAAAAAUGUUGAUAUUGCAUGAUUUCAAAUCCUCCAAACGGACUCUCGAGAUUCGUUUGAUACCCAAUAGAAACAAACCAUAUGUGUUACUAGACUACUUUUGAUGUUCUGGACUCCAUGACAAUAUUUGAUAUUUUGAAAGAUAUCGUUUCCAACAAACUAACCCUUGGGAUCUUUUUUUACUAUUUUCCAAAUAAAGGAUCAAAAUGCAAAAUAAAAGCUCUAAGCCUGAACCAACCCCACUACUAACUAAAAUUUGACAUUUCAGAUCUAAUGGAACUAUCCAAAUCAUCAUCCAGGACUUGAAAAAUCAAAUGUCGAUCAAAGUCAACUAAAUGACUUUUAAAGCCUUCUAAAACUCACAAACUCCCCCAAAUUACUCCCUAUCAUAUCGAGAACCAUGUUAACCAUCUUCAAACACCAAAAUCAAUAUGUUAUAGCUACAGGGAAAGGCAAAAUGGUUAAAACACAUAAAAAUUAAGAUUUUACACUUCGGGUUAUAACAGUUUCCACCAGUAAAACUCUAGUUCAUCCUCAAACUAAAAGGCAGGAAAGUACCUAAACCGGUAAAGAACCGAGGGUAACUACUAUGCAAUUCAAAUUUGACUUCCAAUUAGUGUCUUCAACAAGAUGGUGUAUCUACUGAACCUUAACUACAGAAAUAUCUCUAGAACACAACAACUAACUAUUUCUAGCUAAAAUAGACGUUGGCUCAUCUACAAAGGUCAACCUCUCAUUCAACUAAACCAAGUCCCAAAAAAGCACGUGAGACUCAUUCAGGAUAUAGCGCUAAAGCAUGGAUACAUGAAAAAUAGUAUGAAUGACUAAAAAGUUUAGAGGUAAGCUGAACCCAUAAGCAACCUCCCUAACUGUCCUAAGAAUCUCAAUUGGUCCAAUAUACCUAUGGCUAAGCUUUUUCCUCUUUUCAAACCUCAUCAGGCCUUUUAUGGGUAGCACAAAAAUAAAGAGUGAUCACAAAUCCCAAAAUAUAAGGAACCAAGCUGACCAUCCAUAUAACUCUUUUGCCUACUCUAGGUUGCCCAAAGCCUAUACUGGAUCAUUCAAACUAUGUCCAAAGAUUUGCAAAACAAGUUGGUACCAUGGGGUCUUACCUCUAAAGUCUAAAACCAACCAAUAGGAGAUCGACAACACCUAACAUAUAACACCUUAAAAGGUGUCAUCUCAACACUCAAAUAGUAGUUAUUAUUAUAAGCAAACAUUGCUAAGGCCAAAUGUUGUUCCCACUUACCUUUGAAGUCCAUAACACAUGCACGAAGAAUAUCCUCCAAAACCUUAAUAAUCUACUUUAACUGACCAUUGGUAUGGGAGUGGAAAGUUAUGGUAAGGUCAAUAUGAAUACCUAACUUAUCUUGAAUCGUCCGCUAGAAGUGAGCACUAACCUUCUGUCUGAAAUAAUGGACAUGGUACCCCAUGAAGAUGAACUAUCUCACAAACAUAUAUAUAAGCCAACCUUUUGGCAUUGAAGAAAAUCUGAAUAGGUAUGAAAUGGGUUGAUGGUCAACCAAUCCAUAAUGACCCAAAUGUUGUCAGAACCACAAGAAGUACAAGGCAACCCACUCAUAAAGUCCAUAGUGAUCUGCUCCUACUUUCACUCAAGAAUGGGUAAUCUCUAAAGUAAACCACCUGAUAUCUAAUGCUCGACCUUCACCUACUAACAACAUAAGAUUCAAGCUACAAAAUAUGACACAUCCUUUCUCAUAACACCCCACCAGUAAUAUUGCAUCAAGUUAUCAUAUAUCUUAGUCACCCCUAGAUAGAUAGAAUAUCUUGAGCAAUGUGCCUCCUCCUAAAUCAAUAUCACCCAUUCACCAACUCUCGAUAUACAAACUUUGCCUCCAAUCCUCAAAACAUCAUCAAAAUCAAGAGAUCCCACCUUAUAUUUUCCACUCAACACUUUAUCUCAAACCAUCUUCAAUACUAGUGAGCUCAAAACCCCAUGAUAAAUUUAUUGAUUGAUUGAAAAUUUUUCAUUAAUGUUGAAGACAUUGACUACCCAUGCAAAGAAUAUUGAUGAAGCAAUAUCAAUCACCCAAGCACAAUGCUUGAGUUCUUGUUAACAUACCCCUAGUAUCUCUUAGUACUUGAAUUCAAAUACAAUUUUGAUGAAGUGUACUCCAUCAAAGAAGAUAUAGCAUUACAAAGACUAAAAUAGUCCUCGAUAUUGAAAGAUCAAGCCUAAGCAUCUGGUUAUAUAAAUAAUGAACCUUCAAGGAUAAAUGCCACUCUUGGGUCAAGAUAUGAGCUAAAAUUCCCAUAUUAGUCAACUUCUAUCUCAAGGCUUCUGCAACCACAUUAUCCUUAAUGGGAUGAUAAAGAAUAUUAAGGUACUAAUCUUGAAAUAUAUCAAGCAAAUGUUGUUGCCUUAUAUCAAUAUCUCAAUAGCUGAAGAAGUAUUGAAGGCUAUGAUAAUAAGAAAAUCUCACAAGGAACUCCAUACAAGUAAUAAUGCCAUAACUUCAGUAGAAAUACCACGAUGGCCAACUCAAAGUCAUGGGAAAGGUAAUUUCUCUCAUGAGGAUUAAUUGACAAGAAACAUAAGAAAUCGGAUUACUCUCCUGUAUCCAUACCAUACCCAAACCAACACCACAAGCAUCACAAAACAUGAUAAAGCCCAUACCCUCCUUGGGUAAAGUUAAAAUAAGAGUCGAAGUCAACAACUCUUUAAGCUUUUGAAAGCUCUUCUAACUUCCAUUUUACCAUUGAAAUACCAUAUUUCUAUGAGUAAACUCGGUUAAAGGAGCCACAAUAGAUGAGACACUCUCUAUAAAGCACUGAUAAUAACCCGUGAAGCCACAAAACUCCAAGAAUGGGCCUUAAAGAGUUACCAAAACACCUGCUAAAUUAUGUUGAAAUCUCUAGCGUGUAAUACAAGUUCUGUUAAUAAUCGAUAGGCUUUUCAAAGAAUUCAUAUGGUACAUAGACAUUAUAAGUUUUUCCUAGUGGCAUUGAUUAAAAUUUUCUAAGAUUGUAGACAUAUUCAAAAGUUCAAAAGAAGGUUAAAGAUGAAGUCAGCUACUUUUAAUUGAGGUGAUAAGAGUUGGAUAUUUAUCAAUGAAGGGAUAUCCGUAGAGAUUAUUUUAGAUUCUCAACGACAAAUCUCUAUGAAAUUAGGGAUACAAGACAAUAAUAAAGUUAUAUUUGUUACUGUAGUUUAUGUUAAAUGCUCUACUAUUGAGAGGCUACAGUUGUGCAAUGAUAUUUUUGCCAUGUCUAAUAGCAUGAAUCAUAUUGUCUACUAAUGGUUGAUUUCAAUGUCGUUAUGAAUGAAAAGGAUAAAUUGGGGGAACCAACUAUUUAUCCCUUAGAGUAUGAGAACUUUGCAUUGUGUCUAUACUCUUGUGAGUUGGGUGAGAUCAAUUCUAAAGGUAGCCCUUUUACUUGGUGGAAUAGCAGAACAGAUGAUCAAUGUAUAUUUAAAAAGUUAGAUAGAAUGGUUGCUAAUCAAGUCUUUCAUAAAAGUUAUAGAUUUAUAGAAGUUGAAUAUUUAGCUAAGAUAGGGUAAGACCAUGCCCCAUUAUUGUUUUUAUGUGGGGAACAACAUAACUAGGUUCACAAACCUUUUAAGUUUUUGAAAUUUUGUAAAAAAUAUGAGAGUUUUCUUGAAAUUGUUAAAGAAAAUUGGGUAUCUGGUGGAGAUCAUUUGAUAUUUCUAUAAGGUGGAAAUGAAAGUUGGAAAGAACUAGUACUACCUUUUCAAAGUGGGGUAGAGAAAGUUAUGGUUAUAUUUUUAAAUAGAGUACUAUAAAAGAAGCGGUAGUCAUAAUUAAGGACGAAUUAUUUCAAGAAUCCCCUACAGCAUAAAACAUAUCUAUUCUUCAAAGGGCACAAGCUGAACUAAAAUAUUAUACUCAUUUUAAAGAAGAAUACUAGAGGUAAAGGGCAGAUAUCAAUUGAUUUUUUGAUGGACAUAAAAACACUAAAUUUUCCAUAACUUAGUAAAUAAGAAAAGAAAAAGACUGUAUCAAUAAAAUUCAAAAAAUGGAUGGUAGGUAGGCUGAGAAUAAUAAAGAAGUGGCAACGGAGGCAAUUAAUUUUUUCCAUAAGAAGUUCUCAUAUGACCUAUCCACGUCCAAUUAUUCCCUUCUUAAUCAUGUUCCUACAAUGAUUAAUCAAAAGAAAAAGAGAAAAUGCAUUGUUUCCACUCUAAACUAUACACGAAAUUGUUGAGACACAUCCAAACUUUUGGACGGUCAUAUUACCCCCCUGGACUAAUUAAAAUCAUAUUUUUGGUAACCUUAGUGGCUACGUGGCACAUACGUGUGCCUAUGUGGACCUUCAGUGUGUUGAGUCACUUGUGUGCCAUGUAGGCAUAAGGUUGCCAAAAAUAUAAUUUUAAUUAGUCCAGGGUAUAAUUGGACCCUCCUAAAGUUCAAGUGUGUCUCAUCAAUUUCGUGUAUAGUUCAGGGUAGAAAAGAUCAUUUUUCCAAAGAAAAAUAAUAAAGUGAUUUGUGGUCCUAGCCUAGAGAAAACCAGCGGGGUGAUUUUUAAUUAAAUAGGGAGAGUAGUAGCUGGCUUGAUAGAUUUAGUAGUUGUUUCUACCAGUCUUUUUGGGAUAUUAUUAGUAAGGAUGUGUUGCAUAUAGUGAAGGAUUUCUUUGAGGGUCAAACUCUUCCUAAAUUUAUUACUCAUACUAAUCUAGUCCUAAUUCCUAAGAAGGAGAGAGAUCAAACUUUCUCAAACCAUAGACUUAUUAGUUUGAGUAUUUUUUUAAUAAGAUUAUAUUUAGAGUCAUUCAUGAUAGAUUAGAGAAUCUGUUAUCUUGUCAUAUCAUAAAAUCAAUCAGGCAUUGUGAAGGAAAGAAAUAUUAUUGAGAAUGCACCACUAGCACAAGAGAUCAUCAUUGAUAACAAAAAAGAAGCCCCUGCUAAUAUUGUUACUAAACUUAAUAUGGCCAAAUCUUAUGAUAAGGUAUCCUAGAACUUCCUUAUCAGAGUACUACAGAAAAUGAGGUUCAGUAAAAUAUUUGUAGAUAUAAUUUCGAGAAGUGUUGCUAAUAAUUGGUUAUCUGGUUUGGUCAGCGGUAGGUACAUGGCUUCUUUCAUUCCACUGGAGGAGUAAAAUUGAGGAAUACUUUGUGUUUAGAUUUGUUUAUUCUCGAUGCUAAAGUAUUUCUUUGAAAAUCAUAUUUAAUUAUAGUGAAUUUAAAGAGUUUGACAUGCCUAAGUGGAGUUCUAAUUUAAAUCACCUGGCAUAUGUAGAUUAUAUUAUUAUAUUUGUAUCUGCUGAAAAAGUUACUAUGGAGCUGAUUAUUAGAACAUUAGAGGAAUAUGAGAGGCAGUCUUGAUAGAAGAUCAACAAAGAUGAGUUCUUUCUUUGUCUAUCGAAACACUGUACAAAAUCUUGUACAAUAAACAAAAGAGGUGAUUGGCUUCAAUAAAGGUAACUUUCCUCUUGUAUAUUUGGGUUGUCCUAUUUUACAUUCUAAAAAAGGAAAACUUACUAAUCUGAAUUAUUCAAGAAGAUUAAGAAUAAACUUCAGGCUUGCAAGAGAAAGAUUUUGUCCUUUGGAAAGAAAGUAGUAUUGAUUAAUAGUGGUCUACAAAGUAUUUUUAUUUAUCUAGUAGCAGAUAUUAACCUCCCAAAGUGUGUUAUUCAUGAUAUUUACAAAUUAUUUGUAAGGUUUUUAAUGAUUAGUUCUGAUGAGGGCAGGAGAAGGUAUUGGUUUUCAUGGAAAGAAAUUUAUUUGUCUAAAAAUGAGGGUGAUUUAGGUUUUAGAUCACUAUAUGAUGUCUCCAAGGCAUUAUUUACAAAAUUCUGGUGGAUUUUUAGAAGAAAUAAUUCUCUUCGGACUAAUUUUAUGUGGAAUAAAUAUUGCAAGAUGUAUAUUCCUCAACUAGUGGAAUGAAAGGCAGGAUCACAAUUAUGAAGGUAUAAGCUUGAAGGUAGAGAUAAUGUGGAUCAGAAAAUAUGGUGGCAAGUCAAAUGUGGGCACUGGAAUGUGUGGUUUGAUAAUUGGACAAAGUUAAGAGCUUUCUACUAUGUAAUUUCCUCUACUGUAUAGUUAGAUGGAUCCGUUAAAAAUAAUCAUAAACUUAUGGCUCAAGGUGAUUGAGACAGUGAUAGACUACAUCAGUUGGUCCUUGAAAGAAUUAUGGCUCAUAUUCAGAGUGAUAUACAAUGUCCAACAGAGACCAAAGAGAGAGACAAGCCAUGGUGGAUGUUGAUAGGAUAUGAUAAACUUAUUGUUAGUUAUGCUUGGAAAAUACUAAGAAGAUCUUAAUACAACCAUUAGUAACUCUCAAAGAUAUGGAUAAGGUGAGAUCUUUUCAAAGUGUUUUUUUAUUAUGGGGGGUUUUGAAGGAAAGAGUUGGUUAGAAUUGGCGUGGUGAAUGAGUUGAAAUGUUGUUGUUGUAGGUAGAUGUUUCUAAAAUAUACAACCAUACAUUUUUAAUUUGUCCUACUUCUUUGAGGGUGUGGCAAACUUUCUUAACAGCUACCGGUAAUUCUUUUCCCCUAUUGCAAGUUAAGGUGGUCAUCGAAAAUGGUGGGAGAUGAAGGGGUUUAUUAAAUCUAAAUCGGUAAUCAAUGUUGUAUGAGUUUUUAUUCUUUGAAAUAUUUGAAAAAAGUGAAAUGUUAUAAGUCAUGCAAAAAUAAUGUCAAUAGCCUUAAUUUCAACAUUAAUAUGAGUUUGUAUUUAUUUGAUAAAUCUAAGUAGUCAUGGAUAAGGCACCUACCUAUGCAAUGGUCUAACCUCAUACAAUUCUUAGAAAAUUAUAGUUGAGUGAUUAGUGAUAAAGUGGUAAUGUGGAGAAAAUCUCAGAGUGAUACUUGCAAAUGCAAUUAUGAUGAAGCAUCUAAAGAAACUUCUAGACCUAAUGCCAUUGAACAUGGCAUCAAAGAUUAGGAAGGGAAUGUUAGAUAUGUUAGAAUCCAAGAAGAUUAAUGACAGGAAUGUAUGAUAGUAAUUUGUCAUGAACCGACUUCUCAGGUCAUGAUGGCUUCUACCAUAACCCACUAGUAAGAAAGCCAACCUCGUAGUCCAGAAUGGCUAGUAAUAGAUUACUCAAUAAUAUAAGGAAAUAAAUUAGGAAUAUAUGAAAUAAAGAUAAUACAUAGAAGAAUCCCAAAACUUGGUGGUACAGUAAAAGAGAUUCUAAAUAUAAUAAGAGUACAAAAGUGAUAUAUCAAGGAGAAAUACACUGAUACAACCUAUCUCUGAAUACAACUUUGAGACUAGUCUAAUACAUAGGAGAGAUAUAAGUAAUACUCCAAACGUCAGGAGCUCACUCUAAGUCUCUAAACUAGGGCUGCUCUGCACGAUGCACACAUCAACAGUGAUAACCCGUACUAUGAUUUGCAGGCUACAGAAGUGUAGUAUGAGUACCAAAUGAAUGGUACUCAGUAGGCAUCUAAUAAUAGAGCUCCAAAGAUAAAGAAGAUAUACAUAGCAUAUAAACAGAAUGAAAUAUAUAUCCGAGAUUCCAGAAAUCAUAUAACAAUUCAAUGAGAAUAAUAAGGGACAACUAUCCUAUUCAUGUCCAAAGUCUAACAUAACAAGACUAAGAAAGUAUCAAGGUGAACUAUCCUAUUCCAGCUGCAUUCAAUCUACGACAAUACUAUACUGUAUAUCCCAGGCCAACAUAUGAAUAAAGGGUGAAAUAAAGAUAUAUAGUAAUAUACAAAGUAAAGAAAUAACUAUACAAUAUGAACAACGAAGGGAGGAAUAUACGAUAGUAUCAUAGCUUCAUAUAGCAAGAUAUAUAUAUAUAUAUAUAUACAUAUAAUUAUGAGGUCAUCUCAAAGCAUAACCUAUAUCAUCAUAUCUUCAUUCUAAGACCUUACUAUAAUACUAUCAAGAUUUAAAUACUAUCAUACUCAGGAUUUCUAAUCCACAUGGCUAGACAUGAAUAAUCAUGCAUAGUAAUGUGAUCAUAAGAUAGAAGAGGACAAAGACAUACCUCAAUCCCGAUACUGGAUCAAUGACCAAUCUAUCAUAGACUAGCCAUAAUAAUUAUCAUAACAAUGAUAAUAACAAUAUCAAUAACAUUGUAAAUAAUCGGCUACUCCAGAAAUCCAAAUACCUAUCCGAACCAAUACAUACACCGCACCGCCCCAGAAUCAGAAGGUUCAAUCAACAUACAACAACAUAAGGGAUAUUUUUACCCACAUCUAUGCAACCGUCCCAUUUUGGCUGAUAAAUAUAGGUUCAUAUUGGUGAUAGGCAAUGCGCAUGAAGAAAUGAAUGCAAAGUACACAAUCAAUGUUACAACUCAUCAUAAUUAUCCUUAUUAGGACCAUUAUCAUCGUCAUCAACCUCCAGCCUUGCAGGGCAUCAAUAUAUCCUCCGUCCCUAUUGGGUAUCAACAUCAUCACAAUAGUAUCCUCCGGUCUUGUAGGGUAUCAAUAUUAUCGCAAUAGUAUUCUCCAGCCUUGUCGGGUAUCAACAUAUCAUAAUAGUAGCCUCCGACCUUGCUGGGUAUCAAUAUCACCAUAAUAGUAUCCUCUGACCUUGUCGGGUAUCAAUAUCACACAACAAUCAUUACUGAUUAACAUACACAAAAAAUACUCGUAAACAUAAUCAUAUCACCAUAGAAUAUCUAUCUAGCCAAUAUUUCUAAACUACUUGUUAUUAGUUAACCAAUGCUUAUUAUAAAGAAAUCAAUAGUUCACUCAUCAUCACACGACUUCUAGUUAUUAGCCUAAACAUUAUCCAUAUUCAUGGGAUAGCAACUAACCAUCAUUAACUAAAUAGUCAACAUCUAAUAUCUAGUCAAGGUUCAUCACUAUAUUGAAUCGCCAUUUAUCCACUAUUUAUCAUUAUCAACUAAUCAUCCUAUACAUGUUAAUUACUAUUAGACAACACAUUACUAUUUGUCACCUAACCAUCUUUUAUUAAUUGACACAAUUCAUUAACUAACCAUCGUUUACCACUAAUCCUUGAUUAACUAUUUAUUUAUUAACCUUAGCAACUAUUCAUCAUUAUUAACUAGUCACCUCUUAUUACCAACAUCUCUUAUUAUCUAGCCAUAUUAAUACAUAACUCCUCGACUAUCAACUGAUCUAUGUCACAAACUUAGUGAUCAAUAUUAACUAAUCUUCACCUAUGAUAGACCAGACCUUAUCAUAAGUCAUUCAUUAACCAUCAUAGCUACCACACAUUUAUGCUAAGCAAGAUUCAUUAACUAAUGCUUAAAUUAACUAGCCACCAAGUACUAUAAUCAGCUAAUGGACAACUAACUACCUCAUAGCUUAACCGUUAAUUAGGCAAAAUAAUUAUAAGAUUAUACUUCAUCUAGAAUCACAUAAGUUACUGAUAUAAUAAUCAUGGAUGUACUAAAUAUAUGCAUGGCAUCACUAGUAUCCAAUCAACAAAGUCAAAAGUAACAUACCGCAUCUUCCUCCAUCCUAUACCAGAGAGAUGUGUAUAAAAAUAUAUAUAUAUAUAAGAAUCCAUAAACUAUAAUCGUAUCCUUUAUAAAGACAAGAACUCCUAGAAUAUCCAAUCAUUACCAUGACUCGUCCCUUGGCCAAAUGAUAUAUCUAAAAUAAUUGUAAUGUCAUAAUCACAGCCUUACGCCCAUAUAUAUAUUCGGAACUCAUAUCGAUAAUCAUAUUUAUAAGCCAUAGCAUAUCUCUAACCAUCUCACAUAUAGGAGGCAUACUAUCAAUAAACAUGUAAUCAUUCUCUCACAUAAGAGGUGUUUCACAUCUAGGAGGCAUAAUAUAGAUAGACAUGUAAUAAUCUAUAGGAUAUCUUAUAUCAAGAGUUCAAACAUCAUGACUAUGAGAAAUAUCACCUCUCUAGGCCAAUUGACUUAUCUAAAAGGAACCUCAUCUUUAUAGGUCCAACAAUCAUGACUAAAGAAAAUAGCAACUCUAUAGGGCAAUUAUCAAGUCUAAGAGGAAAUAGCAUCUCUAUAGGCCAAUCAUCAAGGCUAAGAGGAAAUAGCAUCUCUCUAGGCCAAUCAUCAAGGCUAAGAGAAAAUAGAAUCUUUAUAGGCCAAUCAGCAAGUCUAAGAGGAAAUAGCACCUGUAUAGGUCAAUCAUCAAGUUUAAGAUGAAAUGGCAUCUCUACAGGCCACAUAACGUAUGUAAGAGGAAUAUCAACUCUAAAUGCCCAAUUUCACUUCCACAAGAAGUAUCAUAACUAAAACUCAAAAGCCCCAUCUGAGAACAUCAAUACAAGUUACCAAGUCAUGAAGUAACCUUAUUCUAAGUUUUACUAGCCUCAUCUAUAUCUAACAUCCGCAACUAAGUCCACAAGGCUUAACACAAGUUUAGGCCUAAGUGGGCCAGAUGAUCCCACUUCUAAUCCUCAAUUUCUAUAAUUAGGAACACCAUGUGCCAAACUAGGCUAAGGUUUUUAGUCUAACUUCUAGAUGUCGAAUAAGCCACAUUAAACCUUAAGAUAGUAACUUCAACUAGAAAAAAGGGUACUCAAGUCAACUCUACCCAAAUUACAGUUUCAAGACUAUCACACUAGCCCAAUAAGGUCAAAUAUACUAAUUAUGGUUCAAAUGCUAAAACCAUAUCCCAAACAUAGAUUUAUAACAUAACCAUGAUACAACUAAUCUAAACUAGAGAGGGAAAGCAAUCGGAUUCAAAAGGGUAUAAAUAUGUUAUUUUAUGAGUCCCAAGACCUCAUCUAAACUCCAAACAUCAACAAUCGAGGCCAAGUCAUCCUACUCAUAAUCAAGCCUAACAUCCAUAUCCACACACAACAUAUAUCACACAUCAUCUAUGGAGAAAAGUAGAUAGAAGCCUACCUCAAGGCCAAACCGCAAAACCUCACUUCAUGUACCACAUGCUCGUCUUCACUUUACAAUCCUCAAAAUGUCAUUGCACUACCAAAAUCAUAAUCUACUCCUUAAUACGAGUCUAAUGACACCCAUAUUGCACUAUUGUACCUCGGGUCUAAAAAUAACACCAAAACCCCAAGUGGGUCCCAUAUACAAAAAAUGAGUUUUCGAGGCCAAUCCAAUAUUCACACAUGAACAAGGAAUCAUAACCCUCAAGAAAUGGGUGAAAAUCAAGCAUACAUUGGGCUAAAAUUAAGACCUAACCUAAAUCAGGGUUUUGCGUCCAAACUAUAAAAUUUAAACAUGAUUUCAAAGUAUUCUUACCUUAAAUUUGAAGAUAAUCGCUAUAAAAGAUGAUCGUCAAGAUCUCGAGUCACCUACCAUGACCAAUUUUGAGUUAUUACACCAAUUUUUGUGUUUCUAGGUCUAAAUGAUGAAGGAGAAAUGCCCCAAAUGCGUCUUUGGGUCUUUAUAUAGCCCCUACAGGUAAGGAAAUGUCACUAUCACGGUCCUAUGAGAUGCAAUCGCGGUACUGCGGUCACUAUACUAUUUACCACGAUCGUGGUUGCACCGGAUGGUAGCAAAAUCAAAAAUAAGAUUUUGACCCUCGAAACUCAUCCAAAAUUCAAAGAACAUGAUCCAAUAGUGAAUUUUGAGUGUAAACCACAUUCCAAAUCCAUUGGAAUCGUCAAAACUUUCAUCCAAGGUUGUUUAGGAAAAAGUGGGGCCCACGACUAUAGUUUAACAUUUUUCAUAAAAUUUGUUCAAUAGCCCAAAAUAAGUCUAGGAGCCUUGGGACCUAAACCAAGGAUACCCCUUGUAUAAAAUCAAUGUUCUGGAUGUGAUGGUGAAUUUAAAUUUUCAAUCUAAGGUUGUUUCGACUAAAGGUGAGUCUCACACAUAUUCUUUUCGAUUUUCAACUUUUCGACCAAUAGGUCAAAAUGAGCUUGGGUGCAUUGGAACCCAAACCAAACGUCUACCUAGAUUAAAAUUGAUAUUUUGGAUCUACUAGCACAAUUGGAAUUUGCAUUCGAGAUCGUUUCACUGAAUUUUUUACCUGGUAGCCAUUUGGAACUAGAGAAGACUUCUAAAUAGGGAAUUGGUUUUAAAAACCAAAUGAACUGCCCAAUAACCAAACUUUGGUCCCAGCAAGUCAUAAAUGACUUGGGACAGCUUUACAGAAGCUCAAACGGUGAAGAUAAGCGUAAAUAUGAAAAACGACCUAAAGGGUAAUUACAUUAAUGAUGAUAAUCAACCCAACUCUUGCUUGUUCAAGAUCAUAAUAUGGUCUUCCAUGGAAUCUACUAUUAGGGUUUUUGCCUUGAUUUUCUUACUAUAUUUAAGUUUUAUAUUUUCUUAGAAGGAAAACAAAGUUACCAUAAUUACUUUUACUUUUCCUGAAAGAAAAAAAUAUAAUUCUUUUCCAUAUUUGGAAAACCUCUUUCUUGGAGGAAAGGUUUUGGACAUCUAUAAAUAGAAGAACCCCUUCUCAUGCCAUAACAUAAUAGCAUCCACAAUGUAGUCUUUAAAGAAUCUUUGUUUAGGGGGAGAUUUCUCCCAAUAAGUUUUAGGAUUUUCAAUUUUAUUUUUUAAUAUGUAGGUCGUUUGGCCAAACCAUAUACAAUAAUAUAUUUUUAGUUUAAUUUUUCAUGUGUUGUCUGAUUUAUCGUCUUAUAGUUUGCAAACUAAAAGCUUUCGCAUGAUGCCCUCUAGAUUUCGAACCCAACAAGUGGUAUCAGAGCCAAUGGUUCAAAGAUCAGAUGGUUUGAUUAAGGAUAGUUUAAGAUGAAAAUUGCAAUAAAUUUGAUGAUAAUGAAUAUAUAUAUCUAAAAACUAUAUGUGGAGAACAAGUUUCAGCCAUAUUUUCAACACGCCUAUUGCUGCAUCUUCAAAAAUAAAAAUAAAUUAUUACUUUUAAAUUAACUUUUAACCAUGAUAUUUUAAACCUUAUUUUUAACCAUGGCAAGUAGCAGUUAUGAAUAUUAUAUCAAGAACAAAGUUCAUGCACGUGAUAUGAAGAGAAGACGGAUCAAGUGAAGAAAAUCAAGCAAAAAAGGGGAGAUUUGUUAGGAUUUUUGCUCUGAUUUUCUUACUAUAUUUAAGUUUUAUUUUUUCUUAGAAGGAAAAUAAAAGUUAUCAUAAUUACUUUUACUUUUCCUGAAAGAAAAAAAUAUAAUUCUUUUUCAUAUUUGGCAAACCUCUUUCUUGAAGGAAAGGUUUUGGACAUAUAUAAAUAGAAAACCCCCUUCACAUACCAUAACAUAAUAGCAUCCACAAUGUAGUCUUUAAAGAGUCUUUGUUUAAGGGGAGAUUUCUCCCAAUAAGUUUUAGGAUUUUUAAUUUUAUUUUUUAAUAUGUAGGUCGUUUGGCCAAACCAUGUACAAUAAUAUAUUUUUAGUUUAAUUUUUCAUGUGUCGUCUGAUUUAUCGUCUUAUGAUUUGCAAACUAAAAGCUUUUGCAUGAUGCCCUCUAGUUUUUGAACCCAACAUAUACCACAUCUUUCUUUAGUUUAUUCUUUAGGUUAUUGCAGAUUUGCAUAAAGACCUCUAAAUUUUUGGAUUUGAUUAGACUUUUUAGUUUUUUGUCUUUUCUUUUUUCGUUUUGUUUGAUUACUUUCCUAAUCUAGUUGGUCCUAUAACAGACUGGACUUGUACGUAUUUGUUUUCUUUUAUAAUACAAUGUGGCCAUGCCAAUAGUUUAAUUUUUUUUAAAAAAAUUGUGCUUGACUAUGAAUACAAAUGCUAAGCAAAAAUUAAAAGCUUAGAAAACAUAGAAGAAUAAAGAAAGUCGAGCCUCAAAGAAGAUUUAUGUUCACAAGUCUGCCAUGGAAAUUUUGAUAUUCGAUAGUAUCAGUUAUUGAAUUACCAUAAUCAAAUGAGAUAAUACCCUAUUACCCCCCUAAACUAUACCCAAAAUGGCAGAGACACACAUCAACUUAAAGGGGAUCCUAUUACCCCCCUGAACUAAUUAAAAGUGUAAUUUUGACACCCUUAGUGCCUACGUGGUACAUACGUGGCACAACACACUGAAGUGUCCACGUAGGCACACGUAUGUGCCACGUAGGCACUAAGGGUGUCAAAAUUACACCUUUAAUUAGUUAGUGAGGUAAUAGGACCCCCUUUAAGUUGAUGUGUGUCACAGUCAUUUUGGGUAUAGUUCAUGAGGGUAAUAAGGUAUUUUCUCUAAUCAAAUAUCAAAUUUUUGAAUGUGCAUAACUGAAUACCAUACUGAUCAUUGAAAGUUUUAAUUCCUUUCGGUAGCUCUAUUUUUGCUGAUUAUUUUCCACUAAGAAGUAGAAAUGAGUGUUCUCCCACUUUCUCACAUACUCCUUUAACAUAAGGAGGACCAUUUCCGAGUUCAAUUUUGGCUUGUGGAAAAUGCCUAAAUCAAUUAUAUUAAAGGUGUGUUUGAUAUGGAGGAAAACAAUUCCUCAUGUUCAUAUUUGACCAAAAGUUUUGGAAAAAUAUUUCCUCUAGAAAAAUAAGAUCCUUCAAAAUAAGGAAAAUGUCUUUCUUAAUAAAAGUAAUAAAAACAAGUUGCAAUGUCUCAUACCAAUCUUGAAAUCACUCUCCUUCAACCUUUACCACAUCACCCACACCAAAAAAAGUUCUUUUAUAAAGUUUAUUUUCUUACCCCACCCCAACCCGCCCCUUACCUCCGACCCCCAAACUCCCCGCCUAAUUUUUUUUAAAAAAAAAUUCUUACCCCACACCAACCACCCAAAGAAAGAGUUUUUCUAAAAAUAAAUUUAAUAUUUUUUCUUACCAUACUCCACCACCCACCCCUUGCCUUAACACCCCAUCCUCCCAAAAAAAAAUUAAAUUUUUCCUACUUAGGUACCUAUCCCCACAACCCCCUAAAAAUUAUAUUUUUUAAAUUUUAUGUUGGAUACAGGCAAUGCUUACUUACGUACCGAACUCAAUAAAAUAAAUAAUAAAUAACAUUUUUUUCUAGAAAAUGUUUUUCAUUCAUGGAAAACAGUUUCCUCCAUACUGAACACACCAUACCAAAUUGGCGCGUUGGAAUUGAAAAUAAUUACUAAGGUGUAAAGUUAUAAACUUUAAAUGAUGAUAAAUCAGUCAAAUCCUACCAAAUUGCUGUAUUAUAGUUUCUCCUAAAAGCGUGCCAAAAAUUUAUUUUUUCCAGUAAACUUAGGUUCAAACUUUCAACUCAUAAAACGAAAAUGAUGAUUGUGUGAUGACUAUGGAGUAUCAAUAUUCCCUGUUAAAUUGGCAAUCAAAUCGUGGAAACAAUACAUUGAAAUUACGCUCUAUCAAAGUACUAUAAAUACCUAACAUGACAAGCAAUAUUUAUUUACUCAAACAUUUUUAAAACAUGGAAAUUAUGUUUGGACAUGCAUUUUAUUUGGAAAACUUGAAACUUUGUAAGUGAAAAUCUCAAAUCUAAUCUAAGCAAGUUUUUGGAAAUUUAAAAAUAUUUGAAAAUCAAAGUUUUAAAAUCUGACUAAAUGUCAUGAUCAAAUAAAUUUUUAAAAAUAAAUCUUUUAAAAUCUACAACUAAACGUUAGCAAAAUUUCAUUUCAGUCAUUGUAGAACACCUUUCAUCACUCACAAACAACAAAUUGCACAAUCAAUGUUGUUCAAAUUAAACAUCAUUUAUCACUCAUUCACAUUUCACAACAAGAAGGCAAAACCAUUAAUUCAUAAAAACACAAAUUGAUGAUAAAUUUCAAGAAUGGUUUGGACUCUAAUGACUGACUUCAUCUGUAUCAAAUUAUUUGUCAUUUUCUCUUUAUGUCCCUCACAAAAUAUUAAUUAGGAGAUGUUUUGAUUAAUUUAAUUUUAUUUAUGUCUUGCACUGUAAUCUCUUAAUUGUAACUACAAUAGUAAAUAACUAGGGCAAUUUAGUUAAAAGUGACAAAAGAGUUUGAAAAUGAGGUGUAGGUGACUCAAGUUUUAAUAAUUGAGUGUAGGUGACAAUUACUUUAUUAAUGAUUAAGAAAUCUGAAAAAGUUUCAGAAUAGCCCACAAGUUUUUUAAUUUAUACUUUUAUCCAAAUAUUGACCUAAUAUAACUAGAAAUAGAGGAAAUAAAAAUGCGCAUUUUCUCUCCCUUCUCAUUAUUGUUACUUUCUCUCUCUUUGCCAUUUUUGUUGUUCAUUAUUGUUGUUGCUUUAUUCAUGAUAUUGUGCUUCAUUAUCAUCAUCUUCUUCUCCAUUAUCAACAUCAUCUUCUUCUUGUUUACCAUUGCUAUUGUUAUUACCGCUACUACUGCUACCUGCUAAUUUUUUAGGUCAAAUUUAGUUUCAUACAUCACUUUGGCAUUACUUCAUAGGAGACGUUGGUAAGUAAACUUAUGAUUUUUAGUUGAAUUUCUCAUCUGGGUACAUUAUGACUGCUAUUUUUAAAGCAAUGGAUAGAAUCAUAAACAUGAACCCAACAAAAGCUUCAUUUAUUUGUCACAACGGAAGACUCAUAUGUUGAAUUCAUAUUUAUGGUGCUAUAGUCCUAUAACAUGAAAUGAACAGAUGGGUCAUCUAUUGCAUAGAUAAGUUAUCAUUCACAACAGAGGAGUCAUCUGUUGACAUAGAUUACUCAUCUGUUGACACAGAUUACUCAUCUGUUGCAAUAGAACCUGAACUAAGUUUCAAUAGAUAAGUCAUCUGUUGCAACAGGUUACUAAUCUGUUGCAAUAGGUUAUUUAUCUAUUGCAACAUGUCACUCAUCUAUUGGAAUCCGCUUCAAAGGCUCUGUAGUACAUUCCAACAGGUGAUUCAUAUAUUGCAACAAAUGUAUAAGUUAUUGCAAUAUAUGAGUCAACUAUUCCAAUAUAUGAGUCAUUUGUUGGAAUAAGCUUCAAGUUUUAUAGUACUGUAACAUAAAUUACCAACAGGUGAGUCAUCUAUUGCAAUAUGUAACUCACUUGUUGCAACGUAUUAUUCACCUGUUGCAAGAAAUUACUCAUCUAUUGGGGUUCAUGUUACGACACUGUAAAAUCACUAUUGAUUUUAUUAUGAUGUCACUAUUAACUUUUUUUAACAAAUGUCUUUAUUUAGGUACCACUAAUGGAGGGAUCAAUAACAAUAAGGGUGGAUUGUCAUGGUGAAUAGAUCGAGAAUAGCAAUCGAUAUGUACGGCGUUGGAAGGACGGUGAAAUGCUAAAGACGAUAGCUAUGACAGUCCAAAGUGAUAUUUCAUAUGAUGAUUUUGUUAACUUAAUCAUCAGCUAUUUUGGAUUGAAUUUUCAACUGGAAGAAUUCGUCAUCUGCUACAUGCAAAGCUGCUUUAAAAAUCAGAGGAUACUACCUUUCAAGAUAAUUGAUCAGGUUCAAUUGUGUUCUUAUCUUAUUGAUUCGGCUAGGCCGGUGUUAAGUGUGUACGUGGUUGAAAACCUAAGAGAGAAUGAGAACCAGAAUGUUGAAUAAGAACAACAAUAAGACAUCUUUGAUGAUACAAACAGCUACGCCAAUUGUUGUGAGCAAUAUGGUGGGCAGUUCUUCUCAAUCAACAUAGUCAGGUAAUCAUCAAGAUGAUGAGACUAUAUUUUACAAGGGAAUGUCAUUCAAGGAUAAUAAAAAACUAUUUACUUUUUUGUUUAUUUCUUUCAUGAAAAAAAAUUCAGAAUAAAGAAGGUGAUUCAGUCGAGAAAAGUCUUUUCCUUCAAAUGUGCUAAUCUGACCUGCAAGUAGUGGUUAAAGGUUGUGAAAUACUUAAGCUCUGAAAGAUUCGGCAUUAAUGUUUAUCAAAAUUAUCACACAUGUGGUUUGGAGCACAUUACGAAAUAAAAUCCUUACGCCACGGCAAAGGUCCUUGGUCAAUAUUUCCACAAUAGAUUCCCCGAUGGCAAAGGCCCUUCUACAAGGGAUAUGGCGAAUCAACUCCUUAUAGAAUUGGGCGUUACGGUCAGUUAUUGAAAGAUAUAUAUGGCGAUGGGGAUUUCCAAGUACUUGGUUAGGGGGAAACACGAGCACGGGUAUACAGUCCUCGAUGCCUACCGUUACAUGCUUGAGUUCAUAAAUAUCGAAAGUAAGAUGGUGCUGCAUGUUGAUGAAAACAAAAGGUUCAAGUACUUUUUUGUAUCCUAUGGUUCUUGGAUUUUUGGUUUUCAACAUUUGAGAGAAGUCAUAUCCAUCGACAGGACCUUUUUGAUGAGCAAGUAUAAUGGAGUUUUGCUAGCGGAGGUGGCACAGGAUGCGGAGAGGCACAUCUUUUCUAUCAUUUUUUGUGUGGUGACAAGAAAUGUGAUGCCGCAUAUGGAUAUUGUUUUGAACAAAUGCAAAGAUGCAUCAAAUAUACCAAAGAGUUGUUUUUUAUUUUAGAUAGGCAUCCAAGUAUCCCAAAGAUUGGUUCAAUUUUCUACACUUCAGCUCACUUUGAUUGUUGCAUGAGGCAUCUUAGAAAGAAUAUUUGAAACAACUUUCACAACGAAAGGGUCGUGACCCAUUUUAUAGAGCAGCUAAAGCAUAUAAUAGAAAUUAGUUUUUUUUACCAUUUCAAUCAAAUAAUGGAUAUGCAUCCCAAGGCAGCAGAAUAUCUUAUACAUGUCAGUUUUGAGAGAUGGAGCUGGGCAUUUUAUCCAGCAAAUAGGUACAUUCUUAUGAAUUCAAUAUCUUGUUUAAGUUAUAAGUUUAGUAUGAUGCCGUAAUAAAUGAUUCUUUUGUAUAGAUAUAAUAUUAUGACGUCAAACAUAGUUGAAUCAGUGAAUUCAUUGUUUAUGCUGAAAGAGAAUUUUCCAUUGUGGCGCUAUUUGAUGAAAUAAAUAAGAAGUAUGGAAAAUUAUUUCACAAAAGACGUGGGUAGUUCGCGAAUGAAGGAACCAAAUUUUUUCUAGAAGCGGAAAAACAAAUAUCAACGAACAUCAAUUUGGGGAAUAGGUUAUUUGCUCAUCAAAUAGCAGAUUACAAGUUCAGUAUUGACGGUCAUGGUGAUGUUGCCAUGGUUAAUCUUCAAACAAAAUAUUGUAUGUUCAGAGUUUUUGACUUGGAAAAAAUAUCAUGUCCAUAUGCUAUGGCAGCGCUUCGAGCCCAAUACGGUUCACAAUAUAGAACUAAAAUUUAUGAGAGAUCAUCUCCAUAUUAUGCAAUAAAAAGAUAUAUAAUGAAAUACAGUGAGAAUAUUAAUUCACUGCCUCCCGAAGAAUCUUGGGUUAUUCCUGUAGAGCUUUUGGAGAGAUUAAUACCUCCUUCAUAUAUUGACCUAAGCACUAUCAAAUUGGGAAGAAGGUGAUAUAAGAGAAGGCGUGGUAUCGGAGAAUGAUUUCCAUCAAAAAAAUACAAGUACUCCGUAUUGGAGAACGCUGGCCGCAAAAAGACUACAUGCCCAGAUCAUAAUCCACCAUGAUAGUUGUAAUAGCAAAACUAGUGUUGUUGUUUGUUAUGGACUUUGCUAUUUUUAACUCAUUAUUGUGAACAUAAAUGUUAUUAUUUAUGUAACACCCCAAAUAUGGUACUCAGAAUGCUACACGAUGCUUAUGACCCCAAAGGACCACAAGCUAACCCAUGACUAAUAUUUGUACCUAUACACUACAAAAUAUAUGGUAUAUAUAUACAUACACUGUAAAAUAUAGAAUAGAAGCUAUAUGGCCAUAAGGUUUAAAACUGAAUAAACAUCUAAUAAAAUAAUGUCUGAAAAAUGGUACAAUCAAUACCAAAAUGAAUCUGAAGUAAUUGUCUGACAUGCUAUAGUCUGAAAGCCUCUAAACUAUCUAAAUAAGGAGUUGAUGAGAUAUGUUCCCAACUAACACCAUCUACUAAAAUAAAUAAGUAUUGAAAGAUUGACAUAAUCAAAUAAUAUCAUCCUCGAAUGAUGAGGACUCACUGCUAACUAACUGCUGCUAUUUAGAAUCUACUGAUGCUUUGGAAGGCGUGUCUCUGAACCUAUGGUAUAAAACACCAUAGCGCAAAUGCGUUAAUACUUUAAAUGUACUGGUAUGCAAGUGAGGUAGGCUGAAUGCAAAGGGUUCAUAUGCAUGAACAAUACUAAUUAACUGACUAACAUGAACGUGAGAAUACAUAUAUGCAUACGUAACUGAAUCUAACAUCGUGAUAGAACAGAAUACUGAGUUCUGACUAUUGAGUCUACUAAUAACAUGGAUUUACUGAAAUCUGAGUACGUGAAUACUGGGAUACUGAAUAACUGAGUCUAUUGAUAUUGAUAUCUGGGUCACUAAUAAGUGAGAAACUUAUACUGCAUUACUGAAUACUGAGGUAUUGAUAUUAUGUUACUGAUAUAUGAGUAACUAUUUUUCAUAGUUCUAAUUUAUGAAGAAUUGGUCUGGUUGACUAUAUCUGAUAGUGCUAAAGUUGAAUACUGAUAACAUGAGUUCUGAUAACUGAUAUAAUUGAUAACAUGAGGGACUGUAUCUGACAAUACUAAAUCUUAUGGAACUAACUGAGUUUCAUACUUUAUCUGAGUUGACUGUAUCUGUCAGUCUAUAUUCUGAUGAACUAUCUGAGUUCUAUUAUUGAGACUGAGACUAAAACUAAGACUGUAGGAGGUAAUCAUCUAACCAACACACCCUAGAACUGAAUUGGUAGGGUCCAACAUAUAACCCCAGGUAGAAGGGUGUCAAUACCAUGCCAUGGGUAAAGACAAACUGUGAGUAUACCCUCGCUGAUAGGGAGCUCUUUCGUCAACCCCUCUUGAUAGAAAAGUCAAAUAAGAUGUAUAAAUCCCUAAAUACGUAGGGUUCACUCUCCCUACACUAGCUACGUAGUUUUGGAAUGCAGGGAUUGCUACUAAGGAUCACACCCACUACUGGCUGAGAGUGUGUAUCCUCAUCCCUGGGUUCAGUCGGUGUUGAAUCCUACUCCCAAUUGAAUAUACACUAAACUUAUUAACUGAACUGAACUGAUACUGAUGGUAUUAUUUAGAUGAGCUGAGAUGAUUUCACUGAGUUUCGUUGACUGAUAGAAUACCACUGAGGUCUAAGGACUGGCUGAGAGUACUGAAGUUACUGAGAUUAUUGAGAAUGCUGAAGUGUUAGAGAUUAUGAGUACUGAGAUCAUUAAGAUUACUAAACUACUGGGAUUACUGAGAUUUCUGGGUUUUCCUGAGUCACAUGACUGACUGAGUUCUAUUGAUCCUGGCUUGACAGAGAGUAUUAUGAAAACAUGACAUGGAUCUAAGCACACAUCUAAAUUGUAGGGUACAAGUAACUCUAGGACUCAGUAGAAUGAAACUGACAAGAUAAGACACUUCUUGAACACAUGAACAAUCUCAACAAUUAAUAAUACAAUAGUUGGGAUUAUUUCAUGAGGCACUUGAUUGUCAUAAUCUUAUACAUAGAUAAGGGAACAAAUAAUCAUGGCUUAAUUACAUACUUCUAACAUCAUGAACACUUUAUUAAGCAAGCAUAAUGCAUAAUCAAUUAUAGGGGAGUCAUAUUGAAAAUGAGCAAUUGGCAUGCAUUUAUCAUGUAAACCACAAUUGGGUCAUUAUUCAUGAUUUCUACUAUACUAGGCAUUUCAUUAAACACCUUGCAUGCACAAUUUAAGGCAUAGGUAUGAUCAUCAAUUAAAUACAAUAUGAUUUCAUCAUUUAACUCCAUUACAUGAAUUUCAACCCUAUACUAACAUGUUUUCAUGAAAACAUGGUAACGAUUCAAUCUUGGUAGUCAUACAACUAUAACAACAUGAACAAAAUCAAUUCACCACAUAAAUAUCAUGAUAUAAAAUUUAAAAGAGGAUUAUUGGGCUUCAUGGAUGAAAGGGAUCCAUGAAUGAAUACUAUAUAUACCUUAUCUUGUGAUUCUACGAAGAUUGACGGAGAGAUUCUUGAAAUUUGAUGGUGAAUUCCCUUGGAAUUAAACCUUCUAUGAAAACCCUAGGGCUUGUUCUUGAGAUAAAUUGUUAAAAGAGAAUAUAAUUUGAUGUUUUUAAGCCUUAAUCCCGUGUUUUUGAUAUAUAUAUAUAUAUAUAUAGGGGUGGGAGAAUGACCAAAUUAACCCCCAAGACACGGAAGUGUAAUGCUGAAAAUAGGGUACAAAGGCUACACAAAGGGCGGCGCCUUUGGUAGAGCCUUUUUUACCCUGGGGGGUGCUUUUGGUAGUGAUUUGUGGAACCUGGGAGGCGCCUUUGGUGUUGAAUUGCCCACAAAGGCUAUACCAUGGGUGGCGCCCCUUCAUAACAUUUGGCUACUAGUUUGAAAUCCAAACAAGGACUAAACGGAUUCCGAGAAAUUCCAAAACUCACCCGUAAUGUACCAUUUCCUUUCCCCAUCGCAACCCAACUUGAAAAUCAUAAAAUGUAGGUUGGGAAGGUUGUCAAAUAAAUCCCCAAAGUUAGGAGGCUUAAAAUGAGACUAAGUGUUGAACACUUAUCAAAAUUUUCUAAGUGUUGGAUCUUUUAAAGAGAUUCAAGGAGCUAAACGAGCUGAAUUCAAAUGCAAAAUUUUAUGGGGUCUUACAAUAUCUCCCCCUUAGGAAUAUUCAUCCUCAAAUGAGGCUGACUGAGAUAGGAGAAAAGAUCAACUAAAGUAUAUAUAGACAUACACAACUAAAAACAUGAGAUCAUGACUGACAUAACUAAAGAGUUGAAUAUAACAUACGGAACAUACAUAUCUGAUGCAUGGCUGAUUAUCUAAAUUCAUGCAUAUCUGAUUCAUGGAUACGUGACUGACACGAUACAUGAAUACAUGACUGAAAGUACUGAUAAGAUGAUCACGCACAUCUUAUGUGUGAAUAUAUAACUGAACUGGCCCAUGAACAUGCGACUGAACAUGCAAUGGUAAGGAUACCAAGUUCGAACUGAGCAUGGAACUGAAUGUCAAGUUGGUAAUGGAUUUGAACAUGAUAACUGAGUUUUCUCCAGAUGAGAAUGCAUAUCUGAUGCAUAAUUACCUGACUGAACUGAUAGAUAAAUGUAGGACUAGAUGUGCAUUAGUGAUUGACACCAAGCUUGUAAUGGGAAUCUGAUAUCAAGUUCGUAAUGGUAGUUUGAACAUGGAACUGAGUAGGUUUAAGAAAAUGUUAUGGAAACUGAUAAGUACUGAUAAACCCAUAAUUAUGCUAGAAGUAUGCAUGUACGAGCAUAUGAGGACAUGACUAAUACGGGAACGUGAUUCAUAAAUUCCGUGAAUUGAACUGAGUCUUAAAUACAUGGUGUACAAUUGAAGUUGGGGCUUGAGGUCGACUAAUGAGUACCCCUUACUCCAAACUAAAUUCUCUAUGUAAAGAUAGAAUAGGAUGAUUAUGCUAUGAAAGUUUGGGGAAAUUAUAGCGUAUCUCCCCCUUGGGACACUAUGUCUCUUGAAGAAUGCUGACUUUACUGAGAUAUUGAAGAAAGACUAAAGCGAUGCACAAGGUACCUAAGAACUGAAUCAUGACUGAUUAUCUGAGAUCUAAAACUGAGGCAUGAUACAUGAACUAAGUUGAGCUUGAAUCUACAUGAUUGGUUUAUCUUAGAAUAGUUUCACUCAUGAGAUUUCGGAUAGUGUGAAUAGAUGGAAAGAUGGGAAACCAAAUUAUAAAAACUUGUCUGACUGACUGCUAGACUGAAGUACUGGAUAUUUAAACUAAUUCCCUACUGACUGACUCAUCUGAUAUGCUGACUAAUUAAUGGUUAGGUACUAAGCAUGUGUGAUUGAACGACACUUAGUUUGAAUAACUAGGCUGAGGAUAUGGAGUUUUUCUUAUGAACAUGAGAAAGGGACUAACUGAGUAACAUGACAUAGCUAAGUGUGAAUUCAUGCAAUACUAAAUUAUCUGAGGAUGCAAGGCCAGGCGAAUAACAUGGUUUGGAAAUAUUUUAUAAACUGAGGUACUGAAGCACUGAUGACAUGCAGGACUGAUAACUACACGCUAUGGUUAAGAAAUACCUGAAGUUAGACUGUGGUACUAAUCUAAUUUCUGAACUGAGGCUGACACUAUAUCUAAGACUAUAGUAGAAACUGUAACUUACUUUGUAAUUGGGACUCAUACAGGAACUGAAUGUUGGUUUCUGAUAAUUAAGGUUUAGACUGAUAUUGAGGUACUGAGACUAGAUACUGAUAACUACUUGAGGAAGAUUGACAUAUGCAAGGAUCCGAUGCUCAAACAAAUACUAUAUUAAACUUAACACUUGACUAAGGCCUGAGGAACAAAAUAUCAACAUCAUAGAUUUAUCAAGAGAUUUAAACCAAGGGUAUACAUGAUGUAAUCUAAGCUUGACUGAUCACUAGGAGUAGAGCAUGAUUCAUGUGGACUGAACAUAUGGUAAAACAUGACAUGAGUGCCUGAGUCAUGAGCUGCAUGACCUGAGUCUAAAAUUUCUGUGUUCAUGGAACAUGAUUCGUAACACUAAGCAAACUGAAACUCCUGAAUCUAAAGAAACAUGAACAUUCAAAUAAGGGAUCUGUAACUUACAAGUGACUGCAUCAGGAGGAUUUUCAUGAUUUUAUCAGGAUUGAAGUGUAUAAAGUCCGUUUGGGCGUUGCCCACUGAUAGUGCUGGAAUUGGCACCCUAUUGAUUUGGGCGAUUGGACUGAGCUAAGAAAUAACCUUGCUGACUUUGAGGACCAGGUUUAGGACAAUCUCGGACCUUGUGACCUAACUCACCACAUCUGAAACACACACCACUGUCGGCUCUACACACACCCUUAUGAUGCUUACCACACUCUUUGCAAAGCGGAUGAGUAAGAAUUCUGUUCUCAUUACCCUGGGCCUUGGAGCCUGAUGCCCCAUUACUACGGUUAUUUCUAAACUUUGGUACCAGUGCACUAGCUGAAGAGUGAACUGGGGAUGAAUAUUUCUAACACAGCUGAAAAUGAUUUUAUCACCCUGCCACCCUGACUGAGAAAAACUAUAACUACCUGUUCUGGCUCUCUUAUUUUCUCUCUCUUUCUUCUUAAGCCUAUGCUCCUCCAUCUGUUGGGAAUAGAUCAUAAGCCUAGAUAUGUCCAUAUCACUAAUUAACAUUGCAGUCCUGUGCUACUUAACCACUUUACCUGAUACCCCUAACACAAACUUACUCAUUUUGGAUCUACUGUCUGCUACUACAUGGGGAGUGUACCUGGCUAAUUAAAUAAACUUAAUAGAAUGUUUUUUUACACUCAUAGAACCUUGUCUGAUAUUGAUGAACUCUAACACUUUGGCUUCUUUUUGCUCUAGGGUAAAGAAUCUAUCUAAAAAGAUUGUAGCAAACUCUUCCCACUCUAUGGGCUCUAUCUCUGUAUGCCUAUCUACCUUCCACUGUUUAUACCACGUAUGGCCUAUAUCUUGUAGCUGAUAAGUGGCUAACUCUACGCUCUGAUUGGAAUUCACUUCCAUGAUAUCUCUGACUUUCUGAACCUGGUCGAGAAACUCUUAUAGAUCCUCUUCAGACUUGGAACUGGUGAAUAAGGGAGGAUUCAUUCAGGUGAAGUACCAAAUCUUGAAUAUAGAAACAUUGGCAACUGGGUUAACCGGAAUAGCAGUUGGUUAUUCAUUUUGAGUUGCAACUGAACUGGCUAGAGUAGUGAAUGCAGUCCUAAAUUCUGCAUGAGAAAUAAUUUCAUCCAGAGAAUCUUUCUGAAUUGGGUGAGGUGUUGACUGAUUUUUGGUUCCCUUUUCGUUAGCCCUUUUGGGAGGCAUGUUCAGUAAAUAAAAGAAAGAAGUAGAUUAGAAUGAGAGUUCAACUAGAGCUCAUGCUCACUGGUAUGACAUGAAUACUGAAAGAAGGGAAACUAUUCCUAAAAUAUCUCAUAGCCUCUUGCACAUAAAUAUGGUGGAUAACAACCCAUGUAUAAGACUCUACAAGAUGUAGCUUUCAGAUUUCCUAGGACAUUAUUAAACCUUAGGCUCUGAUACCAAGUUUGUAACACCCUAAAUCUAGUACCCAAAAAGCUACACGGUGCUCAUGACCCUGAAGGACCACAAGCUAACCCAUGACUGAUAUUUGUACCUGUACAUGGCAAAAUAUAUGGUAUAUACAUAUACAUGUACUGUAAAAUAUAGAAUAGAAGCUCUAAGGCCAUAAGGUUCAAAAAUGAAUAAACAUCUGAUAAAUAAUAUCUAAAAAAUGAUACAAUCAAUACCAAAAUGAAUCUGAAGUAACUGCCUGACAUGCUAUAGACUGCAACCCUCUAAACUAUCUGAAUAAGGAGUUGAUGGGAUAUGUCCCUGAUGUGUGAGCAUAUGCUAACACAUUUGAGGCUUUUAACUCUAAAUAAUUGUAAGGUCUUGAGAAACUUUAGUUAUUUUUUAUUCGUUUAUGUUUGAUUUUGCAGUUUAAGCUGAUAUGAUAGAGAACCAACAUAAAAUAAAGCAAAGAAGUUAAAAUUUGAAGAAAUCUGAAGACAAGUGUAGAUGACGACAUUUGUGAUAAGUCGCCAGCCUUGUGAUAAGCUAUCAGGUUGGUCGUCAUCAGUAGACAAAGAAUUUACCUAAAGUGGAAGUUGUGACGAUAUUUUAUGAUAAGCCGUCAAGGGUCUGAUAAGUUAUCAGGAAUGUCUUCAGCUUAAGGCAGCCAAGGAGAACUGAAGCAAAGCCUUGACGAUAUUUUGUGAUAGGCCAUCACAUAGCUGAUAGGUUAUCAAGUUUGUCGUAAGCCUUAAGCAGGAAGAGCCAAAAUUUAAGAAGAAGCUGACGAUAUUUGUUAUAAGUCGUCAGCUUCCUGAUAAGAUAUCACAAAUGUCGUUGGCUAAUCCAAAGGAUUUCUGAUUUUUAUUAACUUGUUUCCUUAUUUAGAGUAAACUAUUUAAAGCUUUGUUUUAGGGGUUUUUAGACAUUAUUAUUAUUAUUAUUAUUAUUAUUAUUAUUAUUAUUAUUAUUAUUCCAUACAAGGUCGACACCUUGAGUUUUGGAUAGUAUAUUUUGAUAUUUUCUCUCUUUACUUCUUGACUUUAAUAACACAACUAUUUUUGAGAGAUUAUUAUCAGUAUUUUGGGAUUUUUCCUUUGUAAUCUAAUCUGUAAUUCACUAGUUAUUAUUCAUCUCUAUAAGUUUAUCUUUCAAAUCAUGAAUUCAAUUAUGUGUUUCGUUUGUUACAUCAUGAGUGGCUAAACUCCAUUAACCUGAGUUAUGGGAUCUAGGGUAAGGUCUUAAUAAGGUGCUAAGUAUUCAAAAUUCAAAAGGUGGUAGGAUUUCUUGAUAAUUCUGAAGUUUUAAUUAACAUCUGUUGGUUGGAAAUAGUAGACACAUUUGAUUUGAUUUUCUUGAGAAAGAAAUCAAAUAUAGUAGGAAGUGAAUUAUCAACAGGGGCUCGAAAAUACUUCGUUUAAUAAUCAGUGUUGUAACAAGGUUGGUUAACUUGAGGUAAAAUCUGGGCAGUAAAUAAAAAUUUCCUAAGUCCGAGAGGAUUAGGGAAUUAAACACUUAAGUAUGCUGAGAGACAUUUAAGCAUAACAUCGAUAAAUAUAGCUUGUUAUCCUACCCACUAUGAGAAUCUUGAUCCACUUUUAGCAUCUAUUAUGUAUCGGAAGCCCUAGUAAACAUAAUUCUAGUUAUUUCAUAAACUCUUGAUUUACAAACACAGAAAGUAAAGCGACAAACAACAACUUGUUAAACCUAAACCCCCUAUUUCAGGAAAUAUUAAACUAUCGAUAAUUAAAUCGCAAACAACUUGAGUUCACGCCAUAUUCUCUGUGGGAUUCGACCCCAACCUAGUUGGGUUUUAUAUUGACAACGAUUGCUUAUACCCAUUCAAGAGUGUAAUUUGAGCUUUAUUAAAAAUGGCGCCAUUGCUGGGGAAUACGGUUGUAAACUGAAGUUUGUAUGCGCUAAUUGAUUGUUAGUUAAGUUUCCUAGAUUUAUGUUUAUUUGUUGUUUUUGUUUAUUUGCAGGAUUUUAUAGUGUACGCCAAGCAGGCAAAGUUCCAGAGAAAUAUUAUUGCCACUAAAUCCGAAACCGCAACAAAUAGGAAGAAUGGCAGAAUAGCAAGAGGCUAACAGACUGACAACCUUAGCUAAAGCUCAGGUGAAUGUGCAAAAUGUCAGGCAACAUACACGACAUCCAAACCCUGAGGAUGAAUAUUUGGGGGACGAGAAGUUAUUGAACCCUAGUAAACCAAGGAGUGUAGAGCAGAUAGCUACACAGGUGCCACAUAAUGUUAACCAGAACUAUCCGUUCCAAAGAAGACAAGAGUACCAUCCGGUCUAGUAUGAUCUGAAUGAUGAUGAUGAUGAUGAUGAUGAUGGAAUGGAUGGGGCAGGCAUAACAGGUGCAAUUAUUCCUCCACCGUUGGCACCUAGAGCCAAGUUCAACAUUACGAGUACUAUAAUCCAACUCCUCAAUCUAAAGGAGUUGUUUGGUGUCCUUCUUAGGGAUGAUUCGAACCUGCAUCUGGUGAAUUUUGUCUCUAUUUGCAAAUCCUUUGAUAACCCAGGAGUGGGCCAGAACGCUAUCCAGUUGAGGUUGUUCUCGUUGUCUCUGUCUGAGGAGGCAACAUUAUGGCUGAAUGAGCUUACGCUUGAUUCCAUCAAACACUGAAGGCAAUUAAAAGAAGUAUUCCUAGAAGCAAUUUUUCCACCCUCCAGAAGGGUACAGUUGAGGGACGAAAUCAGUAAUUUUAGACAGCUCCCUACUGAAGCUUUGCAUGAGACUUGGGAGAGAUUUAAAAAGAAGCUAACAUAGUGUCUGAACCAUAUUAUGAUAGGCCUACACUUUAUGGAGACUUAUACAAGGCCCACAACUCUGUAACAAAGUCGAUUAUAGAUAAUGUCGGUGGUGGUUCAUUUGUUAAUCUGUCUUUUCAAGAUGCCUUAGAUACGCUAAAUAGGAUGUUUAAAUAGAAUUGAGCUUGGCAUACCAUAGAGUCUAUGGUAGCAAGCCCCACUAUUUCUAUUAGUAUGUCUGCUGAACAAUGCAGGAGAAAUAAGGAGCGGGAUCAAGACAUGGCCCAUCUAAAGACUCAGAUGGACUUGCUCACCAAGCACUUAUUAUUAGGGAAGACUGAGAAAGUGAAAUUUGUAAUGUCUCAAGACCGAGUGGAUGUAGAGCCUGAAGAUGAGGCAAAUUAUGUUAAUAAUCAGGGGGUUCUGAGGCAAUAGCCAAGGGAAUCAAGGUUAGAAUAUUUAUGACAUGCCUAGUUACAAAGACAGGGAGUAACUUUAAAUAAUUGUAAGGUCUUGAGCAACUUUAGUUAUUUUUAUUAGUUUAUGUUUGAUUUUGCAGUUUAAGCUGAUAUGAUAGAGAACCAACAUGAAAUAAAGCAAAAAAGUUGAAAGUUGAAAUUUGAAGAAAUCUGAAGACAAGUAUGGCUGACGACAUUUGUGAUAAGUCGUCAACCCUGUGAUAAGCUAUCAGAUUGGUCGUCAUCAGUAGACAGAGAAUUGGCCUAAAGUGGAAGUUGUGAUGACAUUUUGUGAUAAGCCAUCAAGGGUCUGAUAAGUUAUCAAGAAUGUCAUCAGCCUAAGGCAGCCAUGGAGAACUGAAGUAAAGCCUUGAUGCCGUUUUGUGAUAGGCGAUCACGUAGCUAAUAGGUUAUCAAGUUUGUCGUCAGCCUUAAGUAGGAAGAACCAAAAUUGAAGAAGAAGCUGAUGACAUUUGUGAUAAGUCGUCAGCUUCCUGAUAAGCUAUCACAAAUGACAUUGGCUAAUCCGAAGGAUUUCUAAUUUUUAUUAAUUUGUUUCCUUAUUUAGGGUAAACUAUUUAAAGCUUUGUUUUAGGGUUUUCUAGACAUUAUUAUUAUUAUUAUUCCGCACAAGGUCAACACCUUGAGUUUUGGACAUCAUAUUUUGAUAUUUUCUCUCUUUACUUCUUGACUCUAACAACACAACUAUUUUUGAGAGAUUAUUAUCAGUAUUUUGGGAUUUUUCCUUUGUAAUCUAAUCUGUAAUUCACUAGUUAUUAUUCAUCUCUAUAAGUUUAUCUUUCAAAUCAUGAAUUCAAUUAUGUGUUUCGUUUGUUACAUCAUGAGUGGCUACAUCCAUUAACCUGAGUUAUGGGAUCUAGGGUAAGGUCUUAAUGAGGUGCUAAGUAUUCAAAAUUCAAAAGGUGGUAGGAUUUCUUGAUAAUUCUGAAGUUUUAAUUAAUGUUUGUUGGUUGCAAAUAGUAGACACACCUACUUUGAUUUUCUUAAGAAAGAAAUCAAAUAUAGUAGGAACUGAAUUAUCAGUAGGGACUCAAAAAUACUUCGUUUAAUAAUCAAAGCUAUAACAAGGUUGGUUAACCUGAGGUAAAAUCUGGGCAGUAAAUAUGAUACAAGUCAAAUGGCCACCUUAGCUUUUGAGGACAUCCUGCGAGGCCAACACAAGAAGAACCCAAUUGUGGUCAUAUUGAGGGCACGGGAGAACGCAUGGGGGACUCAUUUUAAGCCCACAAUAGACCAUUCCCAUGUAUGGAAGGUUGCUUGGAAGCUUGCUUUAAUGAGAUGCCUAAGAGGUUCAAGUGUUGAAGAAUAAUUGUGAAGAUCAAAAAGACUCAAGGAAAGUCAUAUGUUGAAGUGUGAAGAAGACCACAUCAAAAUACUACAUGAUCACCCAUUCAUUAAGGGUGUAAUGGUCUUUUUAUGCUUUUUCUUUACACUCCAUAGGAGCCCCUUUUCAUUAAAGGUAUUUUGGUCUUUAAUGUAAUAAGUAUAAAAGACUCCUUAGGCUUAUUUUUCAGUUGACUUGGAUGAAAUUGGAUAUUAUUCUUAGAUUCUAGCUUUAGUCUUGUAAUUUUAGCUCUCAAUGCCAAAAUUGGUUCCUUGAAUACAUUUGAAGUUAGGGUUUCAAUUGUAUUAGGAAACUUGGCAAGAAAGGUGUGCUUGAGGAAGAGUGUUUCCUUUGGAUCACCUAAGAGAGUGGUUUGAUCUUACAUUGGUGAUGUGUGUUUGAAGGUUUGAUACACCUUCUAGUGUUAUUCAUUGGUGGAAGUGAGGGUCUCUCUAACAUCCCUAAAUCUUGGUUUUAGUGUUCUUAUAUAGAAAAUCUCAUCAAAAAGGAGUCGAAAAUCAGAAAAUACCAAAAAAAAAAUUAUGUGUUGUCUUGUGUGUUUGUUGUAGAUCCAAUUUUUCCUAGUUAGAUCUACAAGUUUUUGUUUUGUUUUUAAGGUUUCUAGUGCUAGAUCCUUUCUCUCUAGCACAUAGGGAGUCUAGAUCUACUUUUAGAGUGAAGUUUGGUUGUUUUUGAGCUAGAUCCACCAUUGUUGUGGCUUAUUUGAAGCUUUUGGAGAGGGUGACGUUUUUUGUCUUGUGUUGGUGACUUGAUUUGUGGCUGAUUUUUAGUUGUUUGAGGUUGUUUUGGCAUAAGGAACCUAGAUCUUCAAAAAAAAUCAGAUUUGGUGUUCAUUUGCUAGGUGCUCAAACUUUGGUCAACUCUUAAUUAUUCAUCUUGUUCUUCCAUGCUCAUCAAGUCUUGCUAAGGAAGAAUAUUCAAAAAGUGUGUUUGAUCCAAAAAAAAGGAGAAGAAAGAGAGAGUACUUGGUGUUUGUGAAGGAAUAUUCCUUGGUAUAUUCAUAGUGAUCUAAAAGAAAUAAGAGACAAAGGGAAUAAUCAAGUACAAUUGAAAGUACAAGGAGGGGAGGACCAAUCCAUUUUGAAUUCAUUUGAAGCUCCAAAAGGGCUCCAAAACCUUCAAUUUUUCCCUCCCAUACGAAAUUUCUUCUUCUUUUAAGUGUGUUUGGCCGAAACAAGUGUAUUGAGAUUUAAAAAUUUUGAAAAGUGACAUCCAAUCGCAAGCUGUCAUGUCAUCACUUAUACAAACAACCAAAUUGAGUUCUAAAAUUAGAUUUCCUAGUUUCUAUUUGUUGUUUCUAGUUGCUUUUGUGUUGAUUCUAUUACUAAUUAGUAAGCUAUUAAUUACCUACUAGUUUGGUAAUUAGAUUAGAGUCCGCUGUUUCGCAUUUUUUAUUUUUGUGUGCUUUUCUCUUUUUCAAGUCGUAGCAUUUUUGUUGGUUCAAGUUUGUGCAUCACUUAUUUUGAGUCGUUUCAAACGAAGAUCCAUUAUGAUUCAAAGCUUCUCACCUCUCAAGUAACUUGCCAAGUAUUACCGGUUCUCCAACACUUGUGAGCCAAGUGUGAUGUAAGGUUGAGUGUGAGUGAAGUGAGGCUUUUGAACUAACUCGUUUGCUCGUUUUGUAGGUUAUUUUGCUUGCUGAUUUUUGCACUUUGUAGGUACAUUUUCCAUGGAAAUCGAAGGUACUACUUCCCAACCUUUGGGAAAUGAUGUUAUGGGAGCUUUGAUAGCCCAAAUGGAGGCCUUGAGUCAAGAAAUGAAGAGCGAAAAUGAUGCUAUAAGGAGUGAUAUGGAUUCAAUAAGGGAUGAAAUGAUUAGAAUUAGAGUGGGGGUUUAUAUACUAUGUCCACCAAAAUCUCUACAAUUCCAAACACCUCAAGUCCAAAGAUCCUAUACUUCACAAAACCAGCCACUAAACCCAAAUGAAAAGGUGAAACAAGGGAGAAAACUUGACAAACUCCCUUGUGAUGUGAGAUUCUCAAAGGAUAAAGUGGGCUUCCAUGAUCCAAACCAAGGCAAAGAAGAAUGUACUGAAGAACAUAAAGGUAAAAUAUCAAAUUCAUACACUUUUAUACAUGUCGACGAUGAUUGUGUGGCUAGUAGCCCAUUGAGCAUGAGUGGUAGCUUAUCUAUUUGUGAGUCUAUUGAUUCUUUGCCUCUUAUUGAUGAUGUACUUGUUAUGAGUAUGGAUACACUAGUUGAUCCUAUUGAUGACUGAAUUGACUCUUCUUGUAAGAUCAAUUUAAGUCCACCUAGUGUUGAAGCCAUUUUGUUGAAUGAUAAUACAUCAUCUAUUGAUUCUUUGCCCCUUGAUGAUGAUGUACAUAUUGUGAAUGUGGAUACACUAGUUGAUCCUAUUGAUGACCGAAUUGACUAUUCUUGUAAGAUCAAUUUAUGUCCACCUAGUGUUGAAGCUAAUGUGUUGAAUGAUAGUACAUCAUCUUGUGGGAAUUGUGUUGAUCAACUUAUGUGUGAAAUUUGUCCACCACUUGAGGAUGUAUGUGAUAUGUUUAAUGGAUCUCAAGUGAGUGAUGAUGUUGAAAAUGUUGAUCAAAUAAAUAGGAGUAACCCCUUUAGCAUAACCUCUAGUGAAUGUUCUACUCCCGAUUUUGCUCAUAGGGAUAAUCAUGUGCUUGAAAUAUCUUUGAUGCUUGACAACGAUCUUUUAGAGAAUGGAUUUGCAUAUUCUACAUCCUCUUCAUGGAUAGAUCCUAAUGAACCUAGUGGUGAGAAUAAAGUUGAAGGUAUAGCUUGUCUUGAAAGCUAUAGCCUAUAUGCCAACCCACUAUGAUGUGACAACAUUCCUCCUAAAUAUGGAAAUCUCUUCUUGGAAGAUGAGAGUACUCUUAAGGGAAGGGAAUGUGAGAUCUUGGAAAGGAAUGAUCAAUUGGGUGAUGAUAAUUUUGACUUGCUUGAAUUCUUAAGAAACCCAAUAAGUGAUUGUUCCUUGAAAAUUGAUUGUGGUUGUGAUCCUUUGUAUGACACCCCACCUAUGUUUGAUGAUUAUGAGGAUGAAUUACUUGCUUCUUGUGAAGACUUAAGAAAUAAUUUCUUUGACUUUGGUGGUGGUAUGUGUAACUUGAGGGUACUUCUAUAGAGAGGGAAAGUGUCCAUUGCUUUGAAAUUACUUCUUCUUCUACUACGUGUGAUCUUAUUGUUGAGAGUACUUAUGGCGAUGAUGUUGAAACUAGUGGUGAGUACACACAUGAAGAUACCUUAGUAGAAGUCAACUUGAGUGAUACCUUUCUUUACUCUCUACUUGCUUUUGAUGACAUGUAUGCCAUUGUAGAGAGUAUGUCGUGUAGUUUGAGUGAAGCCUAUGGGAAAUGGGAGUGUUUUCUAGACCCGUGUCUAUGGCCACUCUUCCCGUUUAACCCCGACGCCAAAUAUAGAAUUGAUGAUGUUGAUGUGCCCAACUUGUUUCUUGGUCUACAUGACAAGCAAAGUAUCAGAUUUGUCAAAUCCAUAACAAAUCCUUUGUACAUCUUUCGUUGAAAUUAUAAUAUUUAAUUUAAGGGAUUCUUGGUUAUAUUGCAAAUAUAUGCAACCUUGGCAUGUUGAGAUGAUUUUUUGUGCUAACCCUAACCCUCAUGCCAUGAGGAGUUUGAAUUUGUUUGUCCUCUCUUUGGUUUUGCUAGGUUUGGAUUCGAGGUCGAAUCUUUUCAAGAAGAGGAGGAUGAUACAAGUCAAAUGUCCACCUUAGCUUUUGAAGACAUCCUGCGAGGCCAACACAAGAAGAACCCAAUUGUGGUCACAUUGAGGGAAUGGGAGCACACAUGAGGGACCCAUUUUAAGCCCACAAUAGAACAAUCUCAUGUAUGGAAACUUGCUUGGAAAAGCUUGCAUUGAUGAGAUGCCCGAGAGGUCCAAUUGUUGAAGAAUAAUUGUGAAAACCAAAAAGACUCAAGAAAAGUCAUAUGUUGAAGUGUGAAGAAGACCACAUCAAAAUACUACAUGAUCACCCAUUCAUUAAGGGUGUAAUGGUCUUUUUAUGCUUUUUCUUUACACUCCAUAGGAGCCCCUUUUCAUUAAGGGUAUUUUGGUCUUUAAUGUAAUAAGUAUAAAUAGACUCCUUAGGAUUAUUUUUCAUUAGACUUGGAUGAAAUUGGAUAUGAUUCUUUGAAUGUAGCUUUAGUAUUGUAGGUUUAGCUCUCAAACCCGAAAUUGGUUCCUUGAAUACAUUUGAAAUUAGGGUUUCACUUGUAUUGGGAAAUUUGCCAAAAAAGGUGUGCUUAAGGAAGAGUGUUUCCUUUGGGUCACCUAAGAGAGUGGUUUGAUCUUACAUUGGUGAUGUGUGUUUGAGGGUUUUAUAUAACUUCUAGUGCUAUUCAUUGGUGGAAGUGAGGGUCUCUCUAUCUAUCUUUAAUUUCAUGCAAUUCUUCUUCUUCAUCUCCUUCUAGUGUGUUGUUUUCUCUUUGUGAACUUGCUGAUUUUUGUUCCUUUAGUGUCCAUUUCAUGUUUGAUAGUCCUUUAGGCUAUCAAAAUAGAAAUUUCCUAAGUCUUAGAGGAUUAGGGAAUUAAAUACUUAAGUAGGUCGAGAAAUAUUUAAGCAUAACAUCGAUAAAGAUAGCUUACUAUCCUACCCACCGUGAGAAUAUUGAACCGCUUUUAGCAUCUGUCAUGUACCGGAAGCCCUAGUGAACAUAAUUCUGGUUAUUUCAUAAACUCUUGAUUUACAAACACCGAAAGUAAAGUGACAAAAAACAACUUGUUAAACCUAAACCCCAUAUUUCAGGAAACAUUAAACUAUCAGUGGAUUAAAUCGCAAACAACUUGAGUUUACACCAUAUUCCCUGUGGGAUUCAACCUCAACCUAGUUGGGUUUUAUAUUGAUAACGAUAACCUACACCCAUUCAGGAGUGUAAUUUGAGCAUUAUCAGUCCCCAACUAACUCCAUCUACUGAAAUAAAUAAGCUCAAAAAGAUUGACAUAAUCAAAUAAUAACAUCCUCGAAUGAUGAAGACUCACUCCUAACUGACUACUGAUAUCUGGAAUCUACUGAUGCUCUGGAGCUCGUGUCUCUGAACCUAUGGUAUAAGGCAUCAUAGCACAAAUGCAUCAGUACUUUGAUGUACUGGUAUGCAAGUGAGGUAGGCUGAAUGUAAGGGGUUCAUAUGCAUGAACAAUACUAAUUGACUGACUAACAUAAAUGUGAGAAAACAUACAUGCAUACAUAACUGAAUCUGACAUCGUAAUAGAACUGAAUACUAAGUUCUAACUAUUGAGUAUACUAAUAACAUGGAUUUACUGAUAUUUGAGUACGUGAAUACUGGGAUACUGAAUAACUGAGUCUAUUGAUAUUGAUAUCUGGAUCACUAAUAAGUGAGAAACUGAUACUAUAUUACUGAAUACUGAGGUACUGAUACUAUGUUACUGAUAUAUGAGUAACCAUUUUUGACAAUUCUAAUUUAUGAAAAACUGGUCUAAGUUGACCGUAUCUGACAGUCUAUAUUCUGAUGAACUAUUUGAGUUCUAUUAUUGAGACUGAGACUAAGACUAAAACUAAGACUGUGGGAGGUAAUCAUCUAACAGACAUGCCCUAAAAUUGAACUGGUGGGGUCCAACCUGUAACCCCAGCUGGAAGGGUAUCAAUAUCGUGCCAUGGGUAAAGACAAACUGUGAGUAUACCCUCACUUACAGGGAGCUCUUCCAUAAGCCCCUCCUGCUAGAAAACUCAAAUGAGAUGUAUAGAUCCCUAAAUGCGUAGGGUGAAUCUCUCCCUACGCUGGCUACGUAGUUCUGGAAUACAGGGAUUGCUACUAAGGAUCGUACCAUCUACUAAAUCAUAGUGCAUAUCCUCAUCCUUGGGUUCACUCGGUGCUGAAUCCUACUCCCAACUGAAUAGACACUAAACUGAUUAACUUUAUUGAUUAACUAAACUGAACUGAUACUGAUGGUAUUACUUAGUUGAACUGAGCUGAGUUUGCUAAGUUCCAUUGCCUGACAAAGUACCACUGAGAUCUGAGGACUGGCUAAGAGUACUGAAGUUACAGAGAUUAUUGACAAUGCUGAAGUUUCUGAGAUUAUGAGUACUGAGAUCAUUGAGAUUACUAAUUACUAGGAUUGCUGAUAUUUCUGAUAUUUCUGGGUUUUCCUGAGUCACAUGACUGACUGAGUUCUAUUGAUCAUGGCUUGACUGAGAGUAUCGUGAAAACAUGACAUGGUUCUAGGCAUAUAGCUAAAUUGUCAGGUACAAGUACCCCCAAGAUUUGGUAGAAUGAAACUGACAAGACAUGACACUUCUUGAACACAUGAACAAUCUCAAAAACUAAUAAUACAAUAGUUGGGAUUAUUUCAUUAGGUACUUGAUUGUUAUAAUCUUAUACAUGGAUAAGAGAACAAAUAAUCAUGGCUUAAUUACUUCUAACAUCAUGAACACUUUAUCAAGAAAGCAUAAUGCAUAAUCAAUUAUCGGGGAGUCAUAUUGAAAAUGAGUAAUUGGGAUGCAAUUAUCAUGUAAACCACAAUUGAGUCAUUAUUCAUGAUUUCUACUGUGAUAGGCAUUUUAUCAAACACCUUGCAUGCACAAUUUAGGGCAUAAGUAUGAUCAUCAAUUAAAUACAAUAUGAUUCCACCACUUAAAUCCAUUGCAUGGAUUUCAACCCUAUACUAACAUGGUUUCAUGAAAAUAUGGUACAGAUUUAAUCUUAGUAGUCAUACAACAUAACAACCUGAACAAAAUCAAUUCACCACAUAAAUAUCAUGAUAUAAAAAUUAAAAGAGGAUUCUUGGGCUUCAUGGAUGAAAGGGAUCCAUGAAUGAACACUAUGCAUACCUUAUCUUGUGAUUCUACAAAGAUUGACGAAGAGAUUCUUGAAAUUUGACGGUGAAUUCCCUUGGAAUUGAACCUUCUAAGAGAACCCUAGGGCUUGUUCUUAAGAGAAAUUGUGAAAAAAAAGUAUAAUUUGGUGUUUUUAAGCCUUAAUCCCAUGUUUUUGACAUAUAUAGGGGUGGGAAAAUGACCAAAUUAACACCCAAGACACGGAAGUGUAAUGCUAAAAAUUGGGUACAAAGGCUACACAAAGGGGGGCACCUUUGGUAGAGCCUUUUGUACCCUGGGCGGUGCUUUUCGUAGUGCCUUGUGGAACCUAGGCGGUGCCUUUGGGGUUGAAUUUCUCACAAAGGCUAAACCAUGGGUGACGCCCCUUCAUAGCCUUUGACUACUGGUUUAAAAUCCAAACGAGGCCUAAACGAUUUUGAAAAUUCCAAAACUCACUCAGAAUGUACCAUUGCCUUGCCCCAUCUCAACAUAACUUGAAAAUCACAAAACGGAGGUUGGGAAAGUUGUAAAAUAAAUCCCCACAGUUCGAAGGCUUAAAAUGUGACUAAGUGUUGAACACUUACCAAAAUUUUAUAAGUGUUGGAUCUUUUAAAAAGCUUCAAGGAGCUAAAUAAGCUGAAUUCAAAUGCAAGAUUUUAUGGGGUCUUACAAUUUGUUAUAUAAAAUAUCUUUUUUAUUAACUUGUGCAUCAAUAAAAAAAAGGUAAUAGGAACUAAAUACAAUAGACCACAAAAUCAUUUUCAGUAAACUACUCAUCUGUUGCAACAGAUGGACAUUUGCUGGAAGAAUACAAUAUAGUUCACCAAACUGGAAGAUGCUCCUCCAACAAAUGACCAAUAUGUCACAACAGAUGUGUAAUCUAUUAGAGAAACACAAUACAUUUCUUGCUAAUUGUUUGUGUUAAUCCAAUAGAUGACCAAUCUAUUUCAACAGAUGGUUCAUAUAUUGAAAAAACUCAAAACUCUUGCUAUUGCUAAUGGAUUCAAAAUUGUGUCAAAUGCUCAAUCCCUACCUCCAACCGUCGACAUGCUGAGAAGAAGAAAUAGACAGAAUGAAAAUUAAAUAAUAAUUAAUAAGUCAAAGUCGAUCAAACAUAAAUUCUUUCAGUAAACAAAAACAAAAUACAUUAGGUAGGAAGAUCAAAUAUAAAUUUUAAGAAAAUACAUAAGCUAAAAAAGGCAUAAUCUAAUUAUUAUCAUCUUUAUCAUUAUUAUUAUUAUUGUCAGAUGACCAAAUGUCAACCAACAGUAGCAGAGCCCUCCUUAGCCUACGAAUCUCUCGGAGCAUCCUUGCUCUCAUGACACCCAACUCCCACUGAAAGUCAUUAAUCUGCCUCUGAAGUUCCCGCACGGUGUCGCUCAAAAUAGCAAUGUCCCAAAUAGGAUCUGUCAUAUCUAGAACAACAUGAAUUGACAAAAAAAUGUAAACACAAAAUUAGAGAAAAAAGUCUAAAUGUAAUACGACGUAUACUACAAACUAGGUAGAUUUACACCCAAAAAGAACUACCUGAGUCAGGGAAAGGAAGCUCGUCUAUAAAGAGAAGUGGUUGGAGAUGUAAUAUGAAAGACAAGAGGCAAAAAAUAAAUAAAGUAUAGUAGAAUGAACGAGUAAGGAGGGACCUAUUUAUAGAGGAUUGAAUUUGAAUGUGUUAGGCAAAAAGGCACGAUUAUUCACCUCUGUUUUAUUAAUUAUAUUCAAGAUGGUGACAUUUUGAUUACUGUGAAAAUUCAUGAUUUAAUUAAAUCAAGCUGGUGACUUUUUGAUUAUUAUGACAAGUCAUGACUCUUCAGCUUCUUAAUAUUAAUUAGUUCUUAAAAUUAAAUAAUUGGUUUUCUCAAUUAAAUAAUCGAAGACUUCUCACCUUUUCAAUAAUAAUUUUUUUAAUUAUAUCCAUUUUAUUGAGUUGUGAAAGCACAUGGUCCAUUUGUUACAUCAGAUAACUCAUCUCUUGCAAUAGAUUUUACAUCUAUUGCAACAGAUGGAUUAUCUAUUGUAACAAAUGGACCGUUUGAUAUAAUAGAUACACCAUCUGAUGCAAUAGAUGGAUCAUCUGAUGCAAUAGAUAGACUAUCUGAUACAACAGAUGGACCAUCUGAUGCAAUAGAUGGAUUAUUUAAUACAACAGAUGGAUUAUCUGAUACAAUAGAUGGAUUAUCUAAUGCAACGGAUGGACCAUCUAUCAGGGGCCAUCUGUUAAUUAAAAUUAAAUAACUAUUUUUUUAUGUUUUUAAAUUGUCCUUAUCAUUUAUUUUCUUAUUAUUUUUUUUAUGAACCAUUUUUCUUUAUUAAAUAAUUGCAAAGUCAUGACUUUUCACCCUUUCAAUAACCCUUCUUUUUAUUAAUAACCAUUUUUAGUCAGUUUUCCCAACAAAUGGACCAUCUAUUGAAACAGAUUUGUUAUUUAAUCAAAGAACACAAACCAAUGGCAAGAACUGUAUUGUGUUCUUCCAGCAGAUCUGUGCAACAGAUGUUCCAUCUGUUACAAUAUAUUGGUUAUGAGCUGAUUGAACACAAUGCAGUCUGAUAAAGUGUAUGUGUUCUUCCAGCGAAUGUCCAUCUAUUGCAAUGCAUGGGUAAUCUGCUGAGUACAUUUUUGUAGUUAGUCGUAUUUAGUUCCUGUUUAGUUACCUCUUUUUAUUGAUGCACAAGUUAUUAAAAAAAUAUUUUAUAUAAUAAAUAAUAAUAUUUACAUCCCCAACAAUGAGUUAAAAUUAUCAAAGUCUAUAAUCAAACAACAACACAAGUUUACUAUUAUAACGAUCAUAGUGCAUUACAUACAUAGCACUUGUGUUUUCUUGAUGAGCAUGUAAUCCUUUGACGUUCAAGAUGGUUACCCGUUGAACCUCUGUAGUUUUCUACACUACUUCAAGAUGGGCAUUGGAGAUUAAACAUUGUUUAAUGUUGAUGGGAUAGAAAGAGUAAGGUGUAUACAGAUGGAUGGAUACACUUUCAUGUGUGAGAGUUAUGUAUUACUGAUCAGGUUAUCGUAACAAUAGACAUAAAGUACAAUAACUUUGUGAAUAUAGUUUUUUAUCGAUUAGGCAUUGAUCCUUCAAAAAAGAUCAUGCAUUUUAUAUUUAAGUUUGAUAGGUGGGAAUUGAUAAGGUCGAAGGGUUCCAAGAAGGGGGUGUCGAUCCCCAGUUACAAUUUAAUGACAGUUUUGCUCAUGCUUAUGUGUCAAGUAGGGAUCAAUUUUUGAUGGCAUUAUAGAUAUUCAAUAGUGAUUGGAUCAAUUUUAAUGGUUCUAUAGACUUUGAGAAGGCCUUUAAAGUCUCCCAUUGCAACAAACAAGAAUAGAAAACAAUAAAAUUUUCCUUGGUUCAAAUUUAUAUGGAUGGGUUACUGGAGGAGACUAUUAUAUAGCAGAAUGUGCUUUAGAGAAUAUUUGUAUGGGAAAGGGAAGGUGGAUAAGACGAUGUGUCAUCUCAGACCUUUUUUUAGAGGAAAUACAGGGCAGCAAUUAAAGAACUUCUAAUGAAAUUGACUUGAAAGAUAAGAAAACUGAAUGAGUUGCAAAUGUGAAAGUGUGUCCUAAAAUUAAAAUUCGUCAGUCAUUGUUGAAAAGAAAAUUGGUAAAGUAGAAUGGAGUUGGACACUUUACUAAGGAACUACGACUAGCUAGCAUGGCCUAAAUGAAAACCCACAAAGUAUAGGAUCAGAACUCUAAGGAAACAGCUUGGUGAGCACCAAGGAUUGGUAAGAUUUUCAGUCAAGAAUGAAACUUCAACCAACAACUCCUGAAGUUAAAAUAAGGGAAGCCAAGGCGUCAAUUUCUGAAGUCUAACUUGCAUCCCAUGCCUUCUAUUUGUGGUUCUGAUCAGGUCAAUAUUAGUAGAAACAAAAAGGUUUGAAGUCGGGCAGAAAUCACAUGCCUUAUUGUUUCCAUUACCUUUGACCUGACCGGAACCAUAAGCAGAAGGCCUGAAAUACAAGUUUAACUUCAGAAAUUGUUGCCUAGGCUUGAUCCCUUAUUUUUACGUCAGAAGUUAUUGGUUUAAGUUCUCUUCUUGACUGACCAUCUUACCACUGUUGGUGCUCGCAAAGUUGCAACCUUAGAGUUCUGAUCCACCACUUUAUGGGUCAUCACUUAGUCCAUGAUAGCUAGUCGUAGUUCCCAAGCAAAGUGCACACCUCCAGUCUGUAACGUGUUGAGAUCCCAUCUCGAGACGUCACAAGGUGCUUAUGAUCCCGAAGGACCACAAGCUAAUCCUUUACUGAUAUCUGUACCUAUACACUGCAUAAUAUCUUAAAUAAAUACGAAAACUGGCCAUAAGGUUCAACACAUCUAUAAAUACUCAAAAUACAGAAAACUAAAUACUAAUACAUUCGACGUUUGUCUGAAAAUCCUCUAUACUGUAUGAGCUAUGGAGUUGAUGGGACAUGUCCCCAACUAACUCCGAAAAUAUAAACAAAACCUUAUGUAAAUAAUAGUAAACUGAAACUCAUCCUCGAAAGAAGAGGACUCACUGCUAUGACUACUGCUGCUAACUGGGAUGGAACUGCUGAGGAAACUCUGGCUCCUAUGCCUCUGAACCUAUGGUGACAAAUAAAACACCAUAGCACAAAUGCGUCAGUACAGGGAUGUACUGAGUAUGUAGAUGAGGUAAGGCUAAAUGCAAAGGCUCAUGCGUGCACAAUACAUAAACUGAAUAAUGAUGAAAAUGUCACACGAGAACACAUACAUGAAUGCACAGACCAUAAUCACAAUCAUCACAACUCAAGAUACUGAAACUCGGAUACCACUUUACUGCAGACUGAACUCAUUACUGAUACUGAGAUACUGAAUCACUAAUUCAUCUGAUAUUGAUAACUGAGGAUUUGGAUACAGUUAUAUCAAGGACUGAAUUCUGAGCUUUACUGCUUUCAACUGACAGGAUUUGAGAUCAACCUCUCUAACAGAUGAUUUCAAAAACUAUUAUUAAUAAUAAAAAAAUAUGAAUAUAUUGAAUUUGACAACAAGGAUACUCAAUAGAAUAUGAGACUGUGAAUUAAGCCUAUCUGGCAGUAUAUCUCUGAAUAUGAUAUCAAAUAACUGUAUAUGAGACUAGGCCUAUCUGAUGGGAUGGUCUAUGAAUCAAUGGAACUAUCUGAGUUCCUCAUAAUAAUAGAUGAUUAUAUCUGAUAGUCCUAAUUUCUGAAGAUUGAUACUGAAACUGAGACUGUAACUAAAACUGUGGGAAGUAGUUACUUAACCGACAUACCCCAACCUACCAUAGGUGGGGUCCAACCUGUAACCCCAGCUGGAAGGGUAUGUAAAGACCUCUCUCUGGUCAAUCCUCUCUAACAGAUGACCCUUACCAGGCAGUUGACCUAAGGUAAUAUAAUAGUUAAAUACUCUCUCUCUAGAGGUGAAAGCCUUUUCCUGACGAUGACUCAUGUAUCCUGUGCUGGCUACGUAGUUCUAAACGUCAGGGAUUGCUACUAAUAACUCCGGCCUCUCUCUCUUGCUGACGGAUGGAGUCGCCAUCUCUUUCCUCACUCGGUGUUGGUUUCUACACCUAACUGAAAGACUCUAAUGGAAUUCUUAACUGAACACAACUAAAUUGAAUCUGAUACUAAUCAUGUUUAUCAAAAGAUCUGACUAAGCUAUGCUGAGAUUACUUAGUUCUGUAUCUGACGGAAAUGGUAUUGAAUCAUAGUAUCUGACUAAAGAUACAGAGCUUGAAUAGAUUAUUCGGUCACUUCUGAGAUUAGAAUUGAACACUUGCAUACUAUUGGAUCUGAGCUGAUUACAAGACUGAGGCUAGAUUACUAGCUAUACGAAGAUUAAAGAUGUUACUGAGAUUUCUGAGCUUUCUUACAUUCUGCAAUUGUCUGAAGAUACAGAGUUCUAUAGCUCACUGAGUUUUGAGAAUCAUGGCUCGACUGUAAUUAUCAUGAAACUGACACGGGCUCUAGACAGCAGCUAAAUUGUCUACUCCCAGGACUCAAUAACAUAAAAUAAAGCAUAAUCAUUCCUUCAUCAUCACAACCAUUCAUUCAUUAUCAUCAUCACAAUCAUUCAUUCAUCAUCACAGUCAUACAUUCAUCAUCAUUAUAAUUAAAGCAUCUCUUUAAGUAUUUAGGAAUCAUAUAAUAUGUUCAUCCUCACAAUCACUAAGACAUCACCUCGAGCAUUUAUGGAUCAUAAAUAUAUAAUAGCGUAGGGGAAACAUGCUACUAGAUCAUACUCCAUUCAACAAGGUCUUUCCUCAAGUACUUCACACCUAAAUCAGUCUUGACGUGUAUUUCGACAUCAUAUGAUUUGGGGAAAACUUCAUACUAUCAUGUCUCAACUUACUUGCUAACCACUUGGCAUGUAUUAAAAGCUUAGUAUAUAUCAAAGAGCACAUAAUUGGAGAAUUUACUACCAUCAUAUCUCCACUUGUUCACUAAGGUCCUUCAACAAUCACUAAACACGCACGGGUUCAUACUUAUUUGGGGAUUUCCCACUAUCAUGGAAUAAUUCAUCCUCUUGGGCAUUUUAUCAAACACUUGGCAUGCAUAAACUAACUCACAAUUUGGGGUUUCAUCUUCAACAUACUACAAUGGCCCUUAUGUUUCACCUAAUCUUUUUAUCAAACCUAUGGGGGACAUGUUUCACUUAUUCAACCAUUUCUACAACCAAAUACCAUGAACACAUCACAUAAAUUCCAUAUACUAGGGUCAAAGCUCAUAAAUCUUUUACACAAAUAUGAAUCAAAACUCAACAUCACAAGGAACAUCAAUUUCAACUCAUACAAAUCAUGAAAUCUAAUAAACAUAAAAAUCGUGAAGUUUUAAAAAGGAUUCUUGAUAAUCUUAGAUGAAAGGGACCUAAGAAUCAACAUCUACAUACCUUGGAAAAACUCUUUUAUUGAAGUCCUUUGGAGAGAUUCUUGAUUUCUCUAGAUUUUUCUUGAUUUUUGCUUGAAGAAGAGAGGAGAUUUUAAUUUUUUGAAAACCCUAAUUUUGGAGUAAAAAGAGAGAAAAUGAGGCCAAUUCUCGUGUAAAAGGGGUAUAUAUAGGGGUUGGGAAAAGCCUCUUUUUUUCCUUGGAAUUAAACUAAAAAUCCUAAUUUUUCAUGUUGGUGGGACACGCCAUAAUCGCGCCAGUUCACUGGAAAAUGGACAAUUGGGAAACUGCACGAAAGCGCGAUGCGGUGAAAAUUACAUUGCCAUCUUGGUUGAGAAUUGGAACUAUACUGCGACGCUGUGGAAUCGCGGAGGUUCACCAAAUUUUGACAAUUGCUAUUUUGGCUGGCUCCGCGAUGCGCUAAGGUGCCAGGUUGCACACUGUCUCACUAAAAUGAUUCUAAAUCUUCACCCGAGUGUCCGAUUUGGGCGAAUUUGGUAUCGAUGGAAAGCUUAUUCAAUGCUCUACAUGACAAAAAGUAGAAAUUAGGGAAAUUCUACACGAUUCAAAGUAUUUUAUACUUGGGAAGAUAUUUCUGAAACUUUUAAACUUGGAUUUCUACUUUACUGAAUACGCUCUAAGGCUCAGACUAAAAGAGAACUUUACAGGGUAUUACACAGUCUACUUCACCAUUUUUAUUUUCAAAUCAACUGAUGAAUUUUCAUUUCUGGAUAUAUUUUUAUUUUUUUAGCUUAUUCGAGUUUUUCAUUUUUCAUGUCAAUUUCAUUAGCUAGAUUAGCUACACGUUCCUUGCUACUCUGUGUUUCUUCUUUAAUAAGGUUUGAGUUGAUAUAUGGUCUUCAGCACCUGCCCUUUCCCUCAAAGAUAUUCUCCCAAGCACCUUUUAUUGUAUAAGCAUCACCCCGAGCAACCCAGCCAUAUAAAUUUGGACCAGGGUAGUAAUUAUAUUAAUUUCCAUUCUUAGUUGCAGCAGUGUGAGGCUUUGAAGGCCUUUCAAAAGUCCAUUGAACCCUUAAAAUCAGUCCAACCACUAUUAAAUCUUUACACUACCACCAAAUACUUGGUCCCUUCUCCUAACUUGACACAUAAACAUUAGCAAAACCAUCAUUAAACUAUAACAGGGUAUCAACACCACCUACUUGGUCCCUCGACCUUAUCAGUUUGAACCUAUCAAUAUUAACUGUAAAAUGCAAUAUCUUCAUUGAAUGAUUAAUGCCUAAUCGGUUAAAAAACUUCAUUCACAAAAUCGGUGUACUCUAUGUGUGUUUUCAAGAUUACAUAAUCAAUAAUACGUACCCCCCACAUAUGAAGUUGUUCCAUCUGCAAGCAGCUUAUUCCUCCUAACCAAUCUUUACUCUACCCUUUUAUAUUGGUCGAGCAAAAGUUGAUCCAUUUCUACUUUUUUUUAUCUGCAAACAUGAUAAAAACAAAUGAUGUAAAACAAGAGAAGAACCAAAAAAUAUUACAAUUGAUGUCUGCAUAAUUUAAAAAAAAAAGGGUAACACAAAAUUAAAUGAAUACAACACAUUACAACAAGCGUUCCAAUAGAUGACCCAUCUGUUGCAAUAGAUUAUCCAUCUGUUGCAAUAGAUGACGUGUCUGUGGUAACAGAUAGCUGACAUAUUGCAACAGAUGGGUCAUCUAUUAGAAUAAAUCAAACCAUCCUUACAAUAGAUGGGUCAUCUAUUGGAAUAAAUUAAACCAGCCUUGCUACUGGUUUGAUUUCUUCCAAUAGUUGCUCUAUCUGUUCCAAAAAUUAAUUCAUCAGUUACAAUAAUUGGGAAAUUUUUUACAACACUACCAACACCAAUAACAACAUUAACAACAGCAUUAACAACAAAGAAACAACACCAUAUAUUCCAACACCAUCAACAAAACAAACACCAUAUGUUCUAACACCAUCAACAACACAAACACCACAUAUUACAACAACACCAACACCACCAACACCACCAACAACAUCAACAACAACAUCAACAAUAAAGAAACAAACAAAAGACAUAAAAAAUAAUACUGCCAAUAAGAUUUUUUAAGUUCUCCCAACAGAUGACUUUUUCUGCAUAUUUUAAUAAAAACAAUGAUUCAUUCAUUUAAGGCUUAAAAGUCACCUUUACUUUAAUUUUUUUAAUAAAUAGGGUAUAGGUAAUGGGUAAAUAAAUAAAAACAACAGAUGUAAAUAUCUAAUUUAAAUAACAUACAAAAAAGAAGACGAGAAAAAAAGAGCAAUAGUGAAUUAUACCUGUAAUGUCGAAAAAGCAAAGAAAUCAAAAUACCUAUUUCAGUCAAGAAAAGAUAUAGAUCAGUUGAGAUCUAAAAGGAUCCCCAUGAGAAAAAGGAGAGAAAAGAGAGAAAAAAUGAGAUAGUUAUGAUUACCCCAAAGAGGAGAGAAAGAGAAAGAAGAGAGAUGAAUUAAUUUAUGGAUGAAGGAGAGAUUCUAGAGAUGGAUUUUAAAUAACUUUGAGGGGAACGAGGAGAUGGUGACAUUAAAAAGAUAAGAUAAGACUACUCAAGGAGAAGAUUUUUGAGUUAUCCAAGAAAUUUUUUUACCGCCUUAGUAUUAUCUUUUUUAUCUCAGAUAGAAAAUUAUUUUAGAAUAAAAAAAAAUCUUAAAACAUAUAAGUCAUCUGUUGCAACAGAUGGCAAUUUUUGUUUAAAUAUUUUCAAUAGCUCAGUCAUCUAUCACAACAGAUGGCAAUGUCUAUUUGAUAAUAUACAAUAGAUAGGUAAUCUGUUGCAACAGUUUUAUUUAUCUAUUUGAUAAUUUCCAAUAGAUAAGUCAUCUAUUGCAACAGGUUGAACAUCUAUUUUAAUAAAAUUUUAAUUGAGUUCAUAGGUUCAACUAUAAUUUCAAUUGAUAUAGCUCGAACUAGGGAUGGGUUCACAUGGUUAGCUACAGUUUCAAUUAAGUCAUUAUAAUUGCAUGAUGUUGGUAUUACAUUCCUCCUGGCCUGAGUCGUCAAUAGACUAAUCUAAGUUAAAAUGAUUCUUAUUAGCUUAUUCUUUGAAAUGCCUACAUUGAUCUAGAUAGAACAAGGGACGAGUUCACAGGGUCAGCUAUAGUUUUAAUUGAGUCAUUGCAAUUGUAUGAUGUAAAUGGUAGUGCGUUCCUCCUAGCCUGAGUCGCCAACUUAUCAAUCUGAGUUAAACUAAUUCAUAUUAGCUUAUUAUUUGAAAUACAUAAAUUGAUCUAGCUAGAACUAGGCACGAGUUACAGGGUUAGCUACAGUUUUAAUUGAGUCAUUGCAAUUGCAUGAUGUUGAUAUUGUGUUCCUCCUGACCUGAGUCGUCAAUCGAUCAAUAUGAGUUGAAAUAAUUCAUAUUAGUUUAUAAUUUGAAAUGCCUAAAUUGAUCUAUCUAGAACUAGGGAUGAGUUCACAGGUUCAUCCACAGUUUCAAUUGAGUCAUUGGAAUUGCAUGAUGUUAGUAUUGCGUUCCUCUUGGCGUGAGUCGUCAACCAAUCAAUCUGAGUUGAAAUAAUUUAUAUUAGCUUAUUAUUUUAAAUUUCUAAAUUAAUCUGGAUAGAACUAGGGAUGAGUUCACAGGGUCAGCUACAGUUUCAAUUGAGUCAUUGCAAUUGCAUGAUGUUGGUAUUGUAUUUCUCCCAGCUUGAGUCAUCAUCCGACCAAUCGUUGUUAAAACGAUUCAUAUUAGCUUAUUAUUUGAAAUACCUAAAUUAGUCUAGUUAUAACUAGGGAAAAGUUCACAGGUUUAUCUACAGUUUCAAUUGAGUCAUUGCAAUUGCAUGAUAUUAGUAUUGCAUUCCUCCAGGACUAAGUCAUCAAUCGAUCAAUCUAAUUUAAAAUAAUUCAUAUUAGCUUAUUAUUUGAAAUGCCUAAAUUGAUCUAUCUAGAACUAUGGAUAAGUUCAGAGGGUCAGCUAUAGUUUUAAUUGAGUCGUUGCAAUUGCAUGAUAUUGGUAUUGCGUUCCUCCUUUCCUGAGUUGUCUACCAAUCAACCUAAGUUGAAAUGAUUCAUAUUAGCUUAUUAUUUAAAAUGUCUAAAUUGAUAUAGCUAGAACUAGGAAUGAGUUCACAUGGUCAGCUACGGUUUCAAUUAAGUCAUUAUAAUUGUAUGAUGUUGGUAUUCUAUUCCUCUUGGCCUGAGUCGUCAACUGAUCAAUUUGAGUUAAAAUGAAAUACAAUUUAUUAUAAUGAAAUGGUUAAAAUUUAUCUCUUUUAAAAAAAUUAACUAAGAUCAAUUCAGACCAAAUUAACAUUUUCAAAACUUGUCAUUCUUUUCCAAAAUAUAGAUCAACCCAUAUAAAUCAUCCAUUUAUGGAAAAAAUGCUUCAUCAUUUCAAAUCUCGAGCUCUCACUCUUUUCUUUCUCUCUCAACAAUACAAACAAAAACUACUUAACAUAUUGCUCAACCCUUCAUAAUAAAUCAAUUUUCUUCUCAUUUUUUAUCAUAUAGUUGUUGUUUUCAACUUUAUUUUUGCUUGUGCCGGUCGUUUUCUUUGUCUUCAUAGGUAACAGAGUUCGAGAAGAGUUCUACAUUGAUUUUUCUAAAAAUUAAGUCUUUUAAAUUAAUGAUAAAAAAAGAAGACUUUAAGUUGUAUUAUCUUCGAGAAUGAGUUAACAAUUUUGAGUUUUAAUGAUAAAAUUGUAAGAAGAACUCAAUAAAAUCUUAGUAUUUAUCACAGUGUUCCGUUAACUAUCGUAGUAUUCUUGGAUGAUGUUUGUGGUGUUGUUUGUGGCUGAUGGUGGUGGUAGUGGUGGUGGUGGUGGUGGUGGGUGGUGGUGGUGAAAGCAUUGGUGAUGGUGGUGGUGGUGGUGGUGGUGGUGGUGAUGAUGGCAUUGAUAGUAGUGUUGGUGGUCUUGGUGUUGGUAUUGGUGGCAUUGCUGAUUUUAAUUGGUGUUGGUUUUGGUAUUGAUGGUGUGGUGGUAUUGGUGGUGGUAUUGGUUGCAUUAGUAGUGGUAUUGGUGGUGGUGCUGGUGGUAUUGGUGGCAUUGGUAAUGGUGGUCAUCGUCUUGUUAUUGGUAUUGAUGGCACUGGUGGUGUUGGUGAUUUUAAUUGGUGUUGGUUUUGGUAUUGGUUGUUUGGUGGUGGUGAUGGUGGCAUUGCUGGUGGUGUUAGUGGACUUGGUGGUGGUGGUGGUGAUGGUUUUGGUAUUGGUGGCACUGGUGACAUUGGUGGUGGAGGUGGUAUUGAUGGUUUGGUGGCGGUAUUGAUAGUCUUGGUGGUGGUGGUGGUGGCGGCGGCAUUGGUGUUUGUGUUAGUGGUGGUAUUGGUAUUGAUGGCAUUGGUGGUGGUAGUAGUGGUAUUGGUAUUGGUAUUGGUAUUGGUGGCAUAGGCAGUGGUGUUGGUGUUGGUGUUGGUAUUGGUGGUAGUGGUAGUGGUUCAUCUAUUGCAACAGGUGGAACAAUUGUUGAGAGAUAAUAAAAUAGGUCUUCAAACAGAUUUCUCAUCUGUUGCAACAAAUGUUUUAGUUGUUGGUAUAAAAUAAACCAGUAACAAGACUGUUUUGAUCUCCUCCAAUGGGUUGUUCAUCUGUUGCAAUAGAUGGUGCAUUAGUUGUAACGGAUUAUUCAUCUGUUCCAACAAAUGGGUUAUCUGUCAAAAUAUUUUUUGUAAUGUGACGUAUAAAAAUUUAUUGAAUUUUUUCUUACCUUUUUUUUUAAAUUUAUGUAAAAAUCAAUUGUAAUGUAUUUUUUGUUUUUCUUUUGUUUGUAGGUAAAAUAUGUCUCCAAAAAAAAAAGUGCAAGUGGAUAAAAUUCUGACCACCUAACAAAAAAGGUUAGAAUACAGAUGAAUUCGGAGGAGCUUCCUGAACAAUUUCAGUCAGGAAAAAAUGAAGCUAAUGAAAGAUAUGAAAAUGAUGUUGAAGGAGGUGGAGAAGGGUCUGUAUAGGGUGAUGAGGAAAAUAAAAGUGAGGAGGAAGAAGAAGAUGAUGAUAAAAAAAAAAUGAGGAAGUGGAAAGUGAGAAAGAGGAUGAUGACUAAAAUGAUUAUAAUGCAUCAUCAAUGGAACAUGAAUUAAGAAUGAAAUCCCAGUAUGAUCCUAUCAAAACUAUUGUCACGCCACUUUUAUAAUCAAAAAAGAUUGAUUUUAAGUUCGAAAAGAAUUUUUAUUAGUAAAGUGACAAAAGAUGAAACUUUUUUUCAAAAAAGACUUUUUUUUUAAUUAAAUUCAGAGUCGCCACUUGGCAUAAUCCGGUGUGUCAAAUCACCUUUGGAAAAUCUUUUUCAAAAUGAUUUGACUCUUUAAACUAAUUUGCGAACAGAGAUUCCGGUUAAGAAAUUCUGUUGAUCGAGGGGAAGGUGUUAGGCAUCCCUCGAUCCCAUGGUUCGACCAUGGUCGCUUGAUGGAGUAUAUCCGCUAUUUUGACACUACGAAUAUAUAAAUCAGACAAAAGCACAUAAAACAAUCAAUCAAAACUAAACAAACCUAAAUAUAAUGUCCAGUCCGAUUAUACAAUCCAAAAUAAAUAAUAAAAAAUGCGAAAAUAUAAAUCCUAUUCUAACUUACACUAAUCCUAAACUGCGCUCCAAUGCUUUACCCAAUGCCUCAGACCUUGAUCACAAACCUCCUUUGAAGACAUAAUACGCCGGAAUAUUCCCCGGUGAAUAAACACAUGAAACCUAGGGGCAUUCCCCGAUCAAAUGAAUACACUUGAAUCAAAUACGAUAGACUAGAAAAUAUUCAACACACAUUCCACAUUCAAACAUUCAAUAAAAAACACUUAUUCCUAGAUUUUGCCUACCCAAACCUACAUUUGUCUAUCUAUUUCAACAUAUCAUAAUUCUAUCACGUUUCAACAAUAUUCAUGCUCAUUCCGAAUUAAACAAAGCAACAAUAAACCAAAGUUAAUCUAAAUUCACCCUUUUUAUCAAUUUCUCAAUUACAUCCCCAAACAACCAAUUUUACUUUUCAAACGAGAUACAUUUCAACGUACAAAUCAUGAUUGAGGAAACCAACCCCAAAUUAAAACAAACACGCAUUCAUCACCAACAAGGAUCAAAUAACACAAUACUCAAUUCAAAAACACCAAAAUAUAGUAAACAAUAAAGUAGAAGAGGGAAAGAGUAAAAUUGGGCCUCCGAUAAUCAAUUUCCGAUGCUAAUAAUAUUUAAGAAAACCACAACUCGAAAUUUGGAAACCUCCACCGCAAAAAAAUCCAACUCAAUAGCAAAAAUUAACGAUCAGAAUUCGAAAUCAGUGAAAAAACUCUUAAUCAAACCCGAAUCAAGAAUGCUAACCCAAUCUAUUCACGAAAACCCCAAAGCAUGAUACAAAAACAACUCAACAAAGACAGAAUACCCGCAAUCCCAAAAACACAAAAGAAAAUAGUGUAGCCUGAGCUCCGGUGAGCUCAAACGGCGGCAAAGACUGAUGAUGGAAGAGAGAUUUCGGACACUUAUCAUUUUUCCGUCCAAAUCUACCCAAAAAUCAAAAGAAAUUGACGAAAUCCCAGGGUUUUGGGCUUGAACGGGCAGACGCACGACCUGUAACGGGUUCCGACGACUAUUUUGCCGGAAGAACUCAAGGGGACGAUCGGAACUCCAUCAAACGCUGGUUUUUCUACUAUUUUCGCCGAAUCUCCGUCAAGCAACCUCUAUUUUUGUCUUUCCCUUACUGAGUGUGUGCGGGUGGGUGUUUUUCAGUGCUUUGUGUGUGUGUGCAAUGGCAACUGUGUGCGUGUCCUCCUCCCCCCUCUUCGUCUGUGAGCUAUGUGUAUAUUGAUCUAUUAAAGAGUAUGUGAGGUCUGUGAUGAAGAUGAUGAAGUGGGUAUGAAUUUUCCUUUUUUUAUCUGUGAGUAUCGUUGGGAGCAAGAAAGGGGAAAAAAAGGAUGGUCCCUCCCAAAUCAUGUGGGCCCCCCUUUAUAUUUUUGUUGUCUGUGUAUUGUAUCCGAAAAGGAAAAAUGGAGAUGAUGAUCUGUCUCCUUUUUUGUAUCUCUGUGUGGUGCAUAUGGUGCCCCUUUUUUUCUUUAUGUGAUGUGUCUGUGUGGAGUACGUGUUGUGUAGUGUGUAUUCUAUCUAAAAAUGGAAAAAGAAAUGGGGCUGCUCUCCUUUUUUGUCUCUCCUAUGUGAAGGUGUAUAUAUGGUGUGAUGAAUUUUCUAUAGCAAUUUGUGUGUAUGUGCGUG